GAGUUAGCUGUGUUAGUUUCAUUAGUUAGUUAAUUAGCAAGAUUCCAAGUUAUUUAGUUCCUGGUUAGCAUGUUAGUCAGUUAACAGUCAGCUAGCAGGUGAGAUAAACUUGCAGAGGAUAAGGCGUAGCAGGUAAGCUAUGGUUUGAUAGGAGGCUGCGUAGGGGCUAAGUGAACUAGACUAGGAAUAAUGGCUGGGAGCUUCACGGUGGCUGUGUAGGAGCCACUACAGAGCAGUCUAACUGCUAGAGGUACUGGAGUGUAAACUAGGGGUCAGGUAGACUGACUGAGAGAUAAGAAGGUUCAGCCGUAUAUGCCAUAUAAGACACUUCAAGCUCAGUUAGUCAUACCCCUUCACAAGCUCCAAAGUAUAAUAGCUAUAAGGAUAGAGGAUAGAGCAGUAAGAAUUCGGCUGAGAAGGAGAAAGGACUAAGCAGCACAUCUCUAUAAUCUCUAAGCUAGCAAGGUAAUUCCAUUUCUAACUCCUUCCCUUCUUUUUCUAUUCCAUUACUAUCAAGCACAAACAGAACUGCCCUGGGCCAAAUGGCUUUGUUAGUAUACCUUGUAUUAAUUGUGAUUUUUAUAAUGAGUAUUAUGUGCAAGAUGGUGGUGUUUGAUAUAUUUGUCAUUAUGCUUGAUUUAUAGGACGAUCAUGGUUGUUUUAAAGCCAUAAGGCUGGGAUCACUAAGCUAAUAAUAUAAGUAAUGUAUGAAGAUAUGUAGACUGCCCACCAUCUGUUUGAUAAAGUGAUUCAAUAGAGGACUGAACUUCAAACUGUUAGUGAAUGAUUACUAAAUAGUAAAAACAACAACAUUGAUUUACUAUACAAUGUUAGUUUUGUUAAUGUUCUGGUUAUGUGAUUGAUAAUGCUUAAUAUGGCUGAGUGUAGCAUUAUAAUGAUUCUUGAUUAAGCCAUUUAAACCAAACAAGCCUUAUACAUUUAGGCUGAGUUAUUAAACGAUUGAAUAUGAACUGGAAUUUCAUUUACUAGCAGGAACCAUUGGGAAUUAAAUAAGAAACCGAAACAAAGGUAAUUUCUAUCUUAUUUUAAGUCACGUAAUUAGCCUAGUACUUGAUCUAAGAAGACAAGUGCUUGAUUACUAUUGACUGUUGUUUUCAAACUGUUAGUAUAGCUAUAUUAGAAUACUAACUGAAAAAUGGAGCAGUAAAUAUUUAAGAUUUCAUGAAAUUAGAGCUUUAUAGUUAUGUUCAUAAAGAUAUCUGUUAUGUGAUAAAUGUGUUCCUUGGCUGAGAAUUAUAAACUAGACUAAAACUGCUAUAAUGGCAAAACAGUAUGGCUGGGAAGGGAGUCCAAAAUGGUGGUUAAAUUCUAACAUAAAAUGUAGCUAUGCUUCAAGUAAACUCUCUGCCUAUGUAUACCAUGUAUUGGUGUAACACUUGAGCAAAACAAAGUAAAAAGGGACUGAAAUGGUAAGCUCUUUGCUAACUGUUAUUACAGGCUUGACUAGUAAUGACUAUAACUUGUUUCUAAUAUGGUUAGUAUACUAUAACAUGUAUCUAUAACUCCAAACAACUAAUGCUAACCCUUGUUAAGUUUAAAUAUGUUAGUUUUCAAUAAACAAAAAUCAGUCCUUGUGACUGUUAUUGGAAGUUUUCUUAUGAUGAUCAUGCCUUGAUUCUAAUAUAUUUAUUACAUGCAGUCCUUGUUUCCAUGUUGCCUAAUCAUGUUACCUUUGUACUUAGAUGUUUUUCAAAUCAUAUUACCUUGUAUUAAUUUAAGGCUUAUGAGGGGCUGUUUUGAACCAAAACUAGAAGCCUUUUCUGUAGGCUCUUUAAAUCAUGAACAUAUAUUAUAUAGCAUGUACAUGAUGUGAUAACCCUUGUGUUGAAAACUUAAAGACUGUUUUGAUGACCUAGUGCUGAACUUUACCUAAAAGGCCUGGAAUAAGCAUGAAUGACUGUUAUUAGGACUUUAGUUGCUAUACUAACUGUUAUUGUAUUAAAUGGAUUGGUAUGAUGUUGCAAUACUAUUAUGGACUGAAUUUAGGCACAAGGAGAUAGGAUGGGCUGAGAAGUAAUAAGGAGAACAAAAUGGGUUUAUGACAUAAAUAAAUGGCUGUGAAACUGGUAGCUUAAAACCAUGCCCACCAAUUGUUUGAUAAAAGUUCUAAAAGAACUGUUUUGGUAAAAAGAACUGAGUAUUAGAACAAGUAAGGCAUUGACUUGAUUUACCUGACAUAUGUGAUGAUUGAAGUGAUUUGGUAUGGUAAACUUUAGCAUGGUGCAGUUUUUACUAACUUUAGUAGUAAAAAGUACUAGCUUGACAAAUCCUUUGGCCACUGUGUUAAACAGUUGCUGAGCCAAGGAAUUAAAAACUUAAUAUCCCUUUGAUAGGCCACUGGGAUAACCUUAAAACUCUAGAGGAUAAGUAACUAGAGACCUGUGAAUGAAAAUCUAGAAAAGGGAUGUCCAUCAUAGGUUGAGGAUCAGGGAUGCUGCUAAUGACAGUAGCAAAUAGCUUUGGGUAGCUGCUAGUACAGACUUGGGAAAAACAGUUGGUUGCAUCCCUGUAGAAGGACAAAAUUCUGUAGAGAUCUUAAGGUUCUCAAAUAGGAUCAAGGAUUGCUACAAAAGGGUAGCAGUGAGUAGUAGAUAUAGCAGUUAGUACCAACCUUAAUCGAGUAGCUGUUGUACUUGGCAACAUCAAGUAAGUAACUGCAGUGCCAUUUUGGCAACUGAGUGACCUUACUGGCUUUAAUUUUUGUUGUGCUGUUAAUAGGUUAAAAAGUGUAGCCAAGUUGGAGACAUAUUGCUGCCCAAGGACAGUAACUAUCACCCAUACCAGUAGGCCAUUAAGCACCUCCUAUAAAGGGUCUUAGAUUGUCCAAUAGGGUGAAGUUAUAUGAAUGAUAUAUGUUAUGUCAACUGAUAGCUAACUUGAGAGUGAAAAUAUGAUAAAAAGGGAAUCAUGGGACUGCUAACAGUCAUCAAUAGAAGUGGCCUCAACUAAUUGCUAUUGCAGUGUUCAGCUUGCCAAACUCAGUUGAAGCUGAGAAUAAUUAAAUUCCUUAUUGUCCAACCUUAAUGACUGUUAGCCUCAUGAAAUAUUAUAAAUUCAGGGUAAAGCUUAGAGGAACAUGGAUUGGUAAAGAAGAUAGAGCUUCUGCCUUUAAGCAAUAGCAGUUCAUAACUGCUAUGAUAGUUUAGAUAGUCGAUUGGUAUUGAAAAUAAAAUUUGAAGAAAUAUGACAUAUAAUGUAAUUUUAAUUACCAAAGUAACCUUGUACACAAAGCCUGACUAAGCCCCAAAUGGCUAACCAAAGCUUGAUUGCCACAAUAGGUCAAGUUGGGACUGUUUUGGCAUAGAGAGGAAAAUUAAGAAUGUUACACUUUUGUAUACGAGAAUAAAGCUAUAAGGUGUUAUAAGAACUAUAAAUUACUCAAUCGAGUUGUGAAUAUUUUCAAAGGCAUAAAAUAAGUUACAAAAGCACCUUGUAUGCUAGAAUUUCUGUAAACAAGGCAUGAAACACUCAUGUGUUAAAAUCCUAAUAGGAUGUAAACUAUAUAUAUGUUGUGUGUGCAUGUUAUUAUCAUACUAGACCCCAUUAAAGAGAAAAAUGGUUAUGAUACGAACAUGGAUGAGAUAUUUGAAAAAUGUAUCAAAUAUAGGAAUCUAACUACAACCAUGAUCACUGAAACUAUGUGAUAUGUGAGCUUACAAACUAUAUAACUUGGCUAUUUGGCUAACAUGCUUGUUAAUGUAAAUAACUGUGUAGGAUUUGUGAGAACACUACAAUUAAGCUGAAUUCUUAACAAUAGACUACAAACAAGGCAAGUUUCUAAUUCUUACUCUUUAUUGAGCAAGUAUUCUACAAUGGACAGGUUUUUUAAUUUCUGAACUGUCUCUCAUUAUUUAUGAAUAAUAUAAGGCUAAAUAACCUUUUUAUUCCAAUCAGCUUCAAAAGAAUAGUAUAUUGAACUUCUCUCUUACAUAAGUUUAUAUUGAAAGUAUGUCAAUGCCAUUAUUUCGGUUAGACAACUGUUGAGAUACAUUGAUAUUAUUCAUGAAAAUAUCAUUUAAUGUUCUCCAAACCAUUUUGUUGUGGUGCGGACUCUUGUAUAAUGAUGUGAACGAACAACCCUUUUAUAGGGGCAUAUUGUACUGGACAUAUGAUUCUGAAGGACAUGUGAAGUGUCAUUAGACUGUUAUGUUGUGCACAAUGUAGGGUACUUAGGCUGAUCCCCUAAAGUACGAGUCUAGGAUAUAGAACAGCUUUUAUAACUGUUUGUAUCCAUGGAUUGCAUUAUUAUUACUAUCAAAUCUAGUACAGAGUUCACUAGUCAUUUGACCUUACAACAUGCUAAAGCCUGAUUUUCAGACUCAACACUCGUAAAGAAUUAUCAUGUUCGAUAUCUAUUAAAUUGUAUCCUCAUUGUUAUAAUAUUUAUGUUCCAUUAUAUUUAACUGCUUAUUUCCUUGCUGAGCAAGCUGUUGCUCACCCUUACGUUAAAUAUAAUAUUUUCAGUUAAAACUAAGGUUGUUGGACCAUCUGGGAAAGACAAAGGAAAAGGCAAAGUUGUUGAAUAGUCCUUUAUUAAGCGCAUGUGUUUAUUUGAACUUAAGUAGUGAAUAUAAUAAAUACUGUUAGCACUAUGUUGUGUAAUGAUAUUUGGAUUGUAAGUAUGUAAAGGUCUAUAGAACCUGGGAUUUAAGUUCAAUGCUUAUGUAAUAUAAGACGAUUUUCUUUUAGUAUGAAUGGGUAUAUUAGUAUCGUGAGCACCAAACCCGAGUUAAAGAUAACCCGGAUUUGGGGGCGUCACAUUGACAAAGUCAAAGACUAUACAUGUUAUACUGCUUAGGAAAGAAAAUUGAAGUUCAAAUCAAGAACUAUGCAUACAAAUGAAACAAUAAUUACUCCAACACAUCAAUACAAAUUAAGGUUCAACAAUGGGGUUAUUCUGCUUUAUUUUUACUCACGAGGGCGAUUUUGGCACUUUUCCGCGGUGUUUAUUGAUUUCUUUAUAUAUAUAUAUAUAUAUAUAUAUAUAUAUAUAUCCUAUGACUGUGCAAUUCCUCAUUCCAUUAGGCUAACAGUGCUACCCCUUAGCGAGCUUUCAACCAAUGAAUAAAGACCUUAGGACGCUAGGUGUAAAGACAAUCCCCUCGGGCGUACUUGCUCAAGUAACGAAGGCCCCGAAACAAGACUAGUCAUGAUAAUUAUUCAUUUUUUUAUAGCAAGCAUACCCAUGUGUUCCCAAAGUUUGAAUAUCAGUGUUUUCAUAGUCAAUGUUCACUUCCUACACAAUUCUAUCUUUAAAAACAACGUUUUCUUCUCAGUAGGCAAACAAGUUAUUCUUUUACCAACAAGCAAACAUGAACACUAAUGUGCUAACCAGUAGCAUCUAAACAACAAGCAUAAAUCUUAUCAUGUAUAACAUUAUAACUCAGCUCAAGCCAUCAACCUAAUUCAAGAAUCCAUCAAAUUUCUUACUUCAUCAUUGGCUACACUAGAAUUCCACUAACUAGAUACUUUGGAUUAUGCAUUAUUAUUCAACUAAACAUAUAAACUAAACAAAUAAUAAGCAAGAAACGGAAAAAAAAAACUACAAAAUAAAACAAAACAUAUUAACAUGCAAAAACUAUACUAAACAUGGAUAAAUGAUAUGCAAUUAUACUACAUGCUCUACACUACACUACUAAUCACCCAAUAUCCCCAAACUUAUCAUAUUCAUUGUCCCCAAUGAAUGAAGGUAAAGGGAAAAGAGAACUCCCCUAAGUGUCAGCAUUACCACCCUCCUCGGGUGGUGAGUCUGGCGGUGGAGAAGGCACGACUGUACCAAACUGAGGCCACUCUAGCAUUAUUCCUUGUUAUGCAAAGGCUUCAACUAAUGACCGCGAUAAUCCAUUUGCGAACGCUAAAAAGUUAUCAUACAUGGCGUCCACUUUUCUCUCCAAUCUCCUAAGUCUGCGAUCAUCAUUUGCUGUAAUGGCAUGGGAUGAAGGUGCUGCUUCAGUUGGCUGCGGAGACGGUACCAAAGAUGUUGCUGGAAGAAUAAAGCCCUUGCCCCUUGAAUGCGGUGUGCCUCUUGCCCAAUCCUCAAACUUCGCGAUAGUGGCAUGGGUGAUGUCUUGGCUUGGAUACUGCAACUGCUCAUUUGCCCAAGUAACUCCCGCUCGUGCACAUAAAUGGGCUACAACUGAUGCGUGUGGGAUGCUGCCUAUGGUGCUCCCCCUUAUGUAGCAGAGCAUGUUUUGGUUGAGGAGGUGGCCCACGUUUAUGUAUUUGCCCCUGAUGAGUCCCCAAAAAAUGAUAGCCCUGUCAGACGGGAUUUCAUACUGGUGCCUGGUUUGUAAUUCCACUGCAUACCAGGCACGCAUAAAUCAGUUAUCAUCCUAUCUAAGUUGGUCUCAAACUUAGCUGCCUCCACCCAGUUGGCACGUCUAGUCAGCGGGUCAGGUAAGUUGAAAACUCCUCUAAUCGCCUGUGGGCGAUAAUCCACUUGAACACCCCUAAUAAACGAUAGCCCACUCAUAGUUUCCUUAGCUUUGGCGUAGAACUCACGUACAAUAGCCAUAGGAGUAGGCAUGGGGCUAGACACCACUCCAACUAAUCCUCUCUCUCAUAUCAUUUCGCAGAGUUGUUCAUCCUAUUUCCAAGGAUUAAACCCUCGUUCCUUCACAAAAGUUUUAGCCACAAUCCUAUAAUACUCCAUCUAAGCAUCUAGGCUGACAAACUUGGUGAGGUCCAAGAUGUCUUCACUCUGACUGCUUAAAGAGGAUGACUCAGGGGUACGGGAACGUGCUCUUUUUGGAUGCAUAGAGAUUACUGAAGAAAAACCCUAAAUAAUUUGAAAAGAGGAGAAAUUGACUGAUGGAAAUACGCUCUGUAUACUAUGAAGACAACCCCUAAAUUUGUUGUGUUCCACUUCUCUGACAAACCCUAGGCACAACUCUGUAACUGAAUGGCUGAUAUGUAGAGGAGGUUGAGUGUGGGAAGAAAAACCAAAGGAAUAAGAAUCGUGGUGGGGUUGGAAACCGUUUGUAGAAGUUGAAGGGGGCUAAGCUUCAGUUUUGAAAGGAGAUGGGAAUGUGCACGUCUAAAGGAAGUUAAAACUGAUAUAUAAGAAGUGGGGAUGGGUCAUGUUUUAAAACAUUUAACAUUAUCUGGAACCGGAAUCAGUCGCGGCUGCGCCGAAUCUAAGCAUAUGUGUGGCGCGGGCGCUGACAUGGCGCGAACGUGCUGAUGUUAGGCGUAUGAUUGGCGUGGGCGCGCUGAAGGUCAAAAUACAUGGAGGUUAGGUGCGGGAGCGCCAAAUUUUUACUACCCAACCGCGCAGUCGCGUUGCCCUGAACCCAGAAAUGAACUGAUUUGCCCUUAAAGAAGUAAUAAGCAGCCAUUGACACUCUUCAACUAACCUGCAUAUCAAGCAUUUACAAAUAUGAGAUAUACCAAUUCCAAAAUCAAAAAUUUGUACUGUAUAACAUGUAUAAAUUAUUGUAUAUCCAAAAAUGCUCUAUAUGUUAUUCCUAUCAAAAAUGAUAUGUGCAUUCAGCUCUAACAAAACUUGUGCCAAAAAUUUUAUAAUCUCAAGAAUUAAACCUGGGGGGGAGAAAUAAACAUGAACAAAUAGAAUUAAACUUGAAGAAGAAAUAGAUAUGAUGCACAAAGAAUUAAACAUGAAGAGAGAAGAGAAAUAAUGGGUUGCCUCCCAUUGAGCGCUAAUUUAUAGUCAGUUAGCUUGACUAUCUCUGCUCUGAUCAAGUUGUAGAAAGAAUUGAGGCAACCUUCUGCUUGUCAACCUCACCACUAUAGUAAUGCUUAAGCCGCUGUCUAUUGACCUUGAAGGGCUUGUCUGGGAACUUGUCAAAAAUUUCUAUUGCACCAUAUGGAUAUACAUUCUUCACAGUGAACAACCCUGACCACCUUGACUUGAGCUUCCCUAGGAAGAGUUUUGAGUCUGGAAUUAAACAAUAAAACUUUUGCUCUGGCUCAAACACCCAUUCCUUAAUCUUGCGGUCAUGCCAUCUCUUCAUAUUUUCCUUGUACAAUUUUGAAUUUUCAUAGGAUUGUAAUCUAAAUUCAUCCAACUCAUUGAGUUGGAGUAGGCGUUUUUCUCCUACAGCCUUCAAGUCAAAAUUCAGUUUCUUUAUCACCCAAUAUGCUUUGUGUUCGAGCUCCAUUGGAAGGUGACAAGCCUUUCCAUACACCAGCUGAAAUGGCAACAUACCCAACGGUGUUUUAUAGGCAGUCCGAUAAGCCCAUACCGCAUCAUCUAGCUUCAGCGACCAGUCCUUCCUCGUGGGAUUCACAAUCUUUCCUAGUAUUUUCUUCACCUCACUUUUCAAUACAUCUGCUUGGCCAUUUGUCUGGGGGUGAUAAGCAAUAGCAAUUCGAUGACUCACCCAUACUUAGCCAACAGUGCCGUGAACUGACGAUUACAAAAAUGGCUUCCUUCAUCACUAAUGAUUGCCCUGGGAGUCCCAAACCUCGUGAAAAUACUCUUUUGAAGAAACCUUAGAACCACCCUAGCAUCAUUUGUUGGUAAAGCUACCACUUCCACCCACUUGGAUACGUAGUCGACUGCCAAUAAAAUGUACAAGUUCCCACAUGAUGAAACAAAAGGCCCCAUGAAGUCUAUUCCCCAGACAUCGAAGAUCUCUACCUCGAGGAUUGUAUUCAAGGGCAUUUCAUUCCUCUUAGAUAUGUUCCGUACUCUCUGGCAUCUGUCACAUUUCUGAUCAAAACUAUAAGCAUCUUUAAAAAUAGUUGGCCAGUAAAAACCUGCUUGUAGAACCCUGGCCGCUAUCAUUUCCCCUCCAUAGUGACCUCCAUACACUGAUGCAUGACAAUCCUGCAAUAUACCCUCUAUCUCGCUAUAUGGAAUGCACCUUCAUAUCAUUUGGUCAGAACACUGCUUGAACAAGUAUGACUCAUCCCACAAAUAAUUUCACAUCAUAUAGAAACUUCUUCUUUUGAUGCCAAGUCAAGUCAGAAGGGAUUAUCCUGCUCACUAAGUAGUUUGCAUAGUCUGUGAACCAUGACACUUUGCCUUUCACCAUGAAUAAUUGCUCAUCUUGGAAGGACUCAUUGAUCAAAACUUUGUCGUUUACAUCCCUUCCUAGAUUUUCCAAUCGAGAUAAGUGGUCCGCCACUUGAUUCGCAGUCCCUUUCCUGUCCUUGAUUUCUAAAUUAAAUUCUUAAAAAAGAAGUAUCCACCUGAUCAGAUGAGGUUUAGCAUCUUUCUCUGCCACCAAAUACCGGAUUGAUGCAUGGAUUGUGUACACAAUUACUCUAGUCCCAAUCAAAUAGGCACGAAACUUGUCAAAUGCGUACACCACUGCUAAAAGUUCCUUUUCUGUGGUCGUGUAAUUCAACAGGGCAUCAGUAAGGGUCUUGCUCACAUAAUAUAUAACAUGGAAUACCUUAUCCCUACGCUGGCCUAAAAUAGCUCGCACAGCAAAGUCACUUGCAUCACACAUCAACUCAAACGGAAGGUCCCAAUCUGGUGCAGUAAUCACUGGUGUUAUAGUUAACUUCUUCUUCAAAUGCUCAAAUGCAUUCAGGCAUUCUUCAUCAAAUUUAAACUAUACAUCCUUCUCUAACAAACUGUAAAGUGGCUUCGUGAUCUUUGAGAAGUCCUUUAUAAACCUACGGUAGAAGCUUGCAUGCCCCAAAAAACUACGAGCACCUUUAACAGAAGUAGGUGGAGGCAAAUUCUCAAUGGUUUUCAAUUUAGCUCGGUCCACCUCUAAUCCUUUCUUAGAAACUUUGUGUCCCAAUAUUAUACCUUCUUGUACUAUAAAAUGACACUUCUCCCAAUUUAGAACCAAAUUCGUCUCAACACAUCUUUUUAACACCAUUACCAAAUUUUCCAAACAUAGGUCAAAUGAAACUCCAAAAAAUUGAGAAGUAAUCCAUAAAGACUUCAACAUUGUGCUCAACCAUAUCCGAAAAAAUUAGCCAUCAUACACCUCUAAAAUGUGGCCGGGGAAUUGUACAACCCAAGAGACAUCCUUUUGAACGUGAAUGUUCCGUAUGGACAAGUGAAGGUAGUCUUUUCCUGGUCUUCUGGAGCUAUCAUAAUUUGAUUAUAACCCGAGUACCCAUCCAACAGGCAAUAGUAUUCGUGACCUGUUAGCCUGUCCAACAUCUGAUAAAUGAACGGAAGGGGAAAAUGGUCUUUCCUUGUAGCCUUAUUUAGUCUGCGGUAGUCCAUGCAGACUCUCCACCCUGUCACUAUCCUGGUCGGUAUUAGUUCAUUUUUCUCGUUCCCUUUCUUCGACACACACUAUACCAGGCUCACCCAAGAGCUUUCUGAUAUUGGAUAUAUUAUCCCUGCAUCUAACUUCAGAACUUCCUUCUUAACCACUUCCUUCAUAAUUGGAUUCAAUCUCCGCUGUUGUUCCACUGAAGGUUUACUAUCAUCUUCCAGCAGGAUCUUGUGCAUACAGAAUGAUGGGUUGAUCCCUUUGAUGUCUGCUAUGGUCCAUCCUAUCGCUUAUUUGAACUCUCUUAGAACUCGUAACAGUUUAUCUUCCUGGAAAGAUGUUAGUGCAGAAGAAAUAAUAACAGGUAACUUUGAACAAUCAUUCAGAAAUGCAUACCUUAAGUGGUCAGGAAGAGGUUUCAGUUCAAGAUCUGGAGCCAUCUCAAGAGACGGCUUGAGUCGUGCUGAUGUCUCCCCAGAAAGCUUGAGUGGCUUGAUAGGAGUCUUGAAACUUCGAAAGUGUGCCAUUGUGUCAAGUAUCUGUACAAAUUCUGCAAUUUCAUUGUCUUCUAUUUCUGAAUCCCCCAAUAUAGCACUCUUCAAAGGCUCAUUUUCCACCAGAUUUCCAACUUCCUCAUUCAACAUCUUGUCUACCAUAUCAAUCCGAAAGCAUUCUUCCUCGUCGGUAGGAAACUUCAUAGCCUUAAACACGUUGAAGGUGACUUCUUGAUUAUGAACCCUCAUUGUCAACUCACCUUUCUGAACAUCUAUUAAAGUUCAUCCCGUGGCUAAGAAAAGUCUCCCCAGAAUUAUUGGUAUAUUUCUAUCUUCUUCGUAAUCCAAAAUGAUGAAGUCAGUUGGGAAGAUAAAUUUAUCCACCUUGACCAAUACAUCUUCCACAAUACCCCGUGGAUAAGUGAUGGAUCUGUCAGCAAGCUGUAGAGUUAUAUUUGUCGGCCUUGGAGCCGGCAAUCCCAACUGAAUGAAAACUGACAGAGGCAUCAAAUUUAUACUCGCCCCUAAGUCAUAUAGGCAUUUAUUGAAAAACAUUUUUCCAAUGGAGCAUGGUAUUGUGAAGCUGCCCGGGUCCUUCAGCUUUGGAGGUAGCUUACGUUGUAGCACUGCACUACACUGUUCUGACAAGGCUACUGUCUCAAAAUCCUCUAAUCGUUUCUUCCUUGAUAAAAUUCCCUUCAUGAACUUUGCGUAGCUUGACAUCUGUUCUAAUGACUCUGCGAAGGGUAUAUAUAUCUAUAGCUUCUUGAAUACCUCUAAAAACUUGGAAAAUUGUUUAUCAUUUCUUUGUUUCUACAAUCUUUGUGGAUGUGGAACAAGAGGGUGAACAAGUGGUGGUUUGGUUAUUGGUUUCGCAGGUAACUCUCCAUUAUUCGUCUCCUCUAACCUCUGUUCAGAACCUUCUUUUAACAAACCAUCAUCAGAGCCAUUUUCCUCAUGGCGCGGCCGCACGACCUCCUCUUGUAUAAUUGGUGUGGGCGCGCCGGCCUGUACAUCUUCCAUUUGCUUCUCUGAUCUUAGUGUAAUGGUCUGACACUGCUCUUUUCCUUCCCUUCUUGGAUUUGUUUCUGUAGUACUUGGCAAAGUCCUUUGUGGUCUAUUGUUCAAUAUAUUGGCCAUUUGGCCCAUCUGAGUCUCCAAAUUCUUUAUAGCCACUGCUUGGCUCUUUAUCAUAACUUAUGUAUUAGCCAUGUACUUAAGCAUCAUCUCCUCCAUUUUUGACUUCUUUUCUGGCUGAGGUGCAGGUGGUGGAUGAUGUUGUGGUUGUUGUUGGAAUCCAGGAGGGUAAGGUGGUUUGGGUGCAUAUUGUUGGUGAGAUGGUUGGGGUUGGUAUUGAUGUUGAGACUAAAAUUGAUGUGGUUGUUGAUGUUCUUAGUUGUUUUGAUUGUUGUUCGAGCUGAAAUUGGGAUGGUUGCGGAUGUUGGGGUUAUAAGCAUUCUAAAACCGAUUCUGGUUCUUUUGGUAGUUGCUCACGAAUUGCACUGAUUCUGAACUAAUAGCACACUGGUCGGUUUGAUGUGACCCCACACAUAUCUCGCAUACACAAGCAACUGGCUUGACCUUGUUCUCCCUCAAAGAAUCAAUCUUCUUCACCAUAGCUGCCAUAUGAGCUGACAAUUGUGUAAUGGCAUCCACCUCUAACAUUCCCGCAACUUUAGGUUGUGGCAUCCUGACCGUAGUAUUUUAAAAAUCAUUUGCUGCCAUAGUCUCAAUGAGAUCAUAUGCUUCUUCAUAACUUUUGGCCCAUAAGGCUCCUCCCGUAGCAGCAUCUACUAUUGGCCUUGACUGCCAACCCAAUCCAUUAUAAAAAGUUUUUAUAACCAUCCAAUUAGGCAUUCCAUGAUGGGGGCAUUUCCUUAGCAUUUCUUUAUAUUGUUCCCAAGCUUCAUAUAAUGACUCUCCUUGUUGCUGUUCAAACUGGGAAAUCACGGUCCUCAUUUUUGUUGUCUUAGCCAUAGGGAAAAAUUUGGCUAAGAACUUCUGCGCUAAGUCCUCCCAUGUAGUGAUUGACCCCGAUGGUAAUUAAUGGAGCCAACUUCUAGCCUUAUCCCUUAAGGAAAAUGGAAACAGCCUUAGCCUAAUUGCAUCUUCUGACACCCCAUUAUACUUAAAGGUGUCAUAUAUCUCUAUUAAGCUCAAAAAAUGCUCAUUCGGGUCAUCUGUAGCAGCACCGCCAAAUUGAACUGAAUUUUUCACCAUCUGUAUCGUGCUCGGCUUAAUCUCGAAGGUGUUUGCUGCUAUAGCUGGCCUUACAAUGCUCGACUGCAACUCAUUAAUCUUAGGCAUCGAAUAAUCCCUUAUGGCUCUAUGUUCUUCUUUAGGCUCUUCUGUCAUAUUAGAUGAUGAAGUUUCAGUAUCUACUUGUGUAUUCUAACGUGCUCUCGAUCUCCAAGCUCUACCGUUGAUAUUAUCCUAUGCAGGUAUCAACUCAGGAUUAGACGAUCAUGUGUGCAUAUAAUGUACACAAGUGCCUGAAAUACAAACAAAAGUAAAAUAGAAAUGAGAUAAGAAUAGAAUUGUUCAAGUUAAACAAAUCUAGUUUUAGUUGAUGACGACAGUAUUAAAAAUAAAUGCCUCUCCCCGGCAACAGCACCAAAAACUUGUUGCUUCUGUUUCGGUUUAACAAAACAGACUCUAGGUCAUGCAAGUAUACACGGGUCAACAAGUAACAGAGUAAGAGAGUAUCGAUCCCACAAAGAAAGGUGAAUAAAUCUAUGCUAUCAUGCAACAACCUUAUCACUAUUUCUGUAUGCUCAAACGAACAAUAAACAAGUAAAUUUAUAUAACACAAAAAUACUAAUUACUAAAAGUAAGGUAAUCAAAGUGGAGAAAUAUGGGAUCCUAAUAUCAUUUAAUGUUUUAUCCAAAAUGUAUGCCUCUUGUUAUGCUUAAUUAUUUAAUAUGGACAGCUAGUCGAGAGCACAGAAGUGAAACAUAACCAUCUUUCGACGUACUAUGUUCAAUUCACACAAAAUCCACAAAUGAUAGAAUUCAUAUAAGUAUCACAAUUACCUAACUCACUAUAUAUCUAUGUGAAUUACAGGUAAUAAUGAUUUAAGCACAAGCUCUCUCAAUGAUUACACAUGGUGAACCGGUAUACACCUAUUCGGGUCACGAAUCACAAAACCUAACACAUUUAAGUCUCAUGAACAUAUGCCAACAUGGUCUAAUCUGUACUUAUACUUCCUUUUCCAAUUCCAUACAAGUAAUUAGGGUGAAUGGUGAUCAAGCAUUCAAUAUUUUAGCACAACCAUGAUGGGCAAUCCAAUAUUAAACAUACAAACAUCAUAAACAGGCAUACAAGUAUGGACUACACAUUAAAAUCCAUUAGAAUCCCAUAAUGGAAAUUAGUUCAUUGCUGAAUCAACAGCCAUUAUGGGAUUGAAGCCAAACAUUGAAAUAAGAAAUGAAAACAAAGAGAUUUUAGAGAAAUAAGGAAUCAAAUCUGAUAAAAACCCAGCUUCAAAGUCUGAUUCCAAGCUAGUUCAGGUCCACAUUCAUCAACAAAAUCAAAACCAAGUAUUUACAAGCAAUAAUCUAGAGAGAGAAGCACAAAGAAAUAGAGAAAUCCUAUGAAUUCUCUCUAGAAUACCAAACCCUAAUAAUAGUAAAUAAAAUUUGUUUAAUACGUCUUUUGAAACCAACAAAUAUAUCCUAAUAUAGCAAACAUGCUCUAGCAUUACAAAAUAGAAAGUCAACAAUUUAAGUCAAAGUGUGACUAGCGCGGCCGCACGGUAUCACAGUGUAAUUCGGGCGCGGGUGCGCUACAUAUACUGCUGCCGAGUGCUUGGCGCGGGCGCGCCGUGUCCCUUUGAAAAUUGAGCGCGUUCACGCGCUGGCCUUGUCUGCGUCUGAUCUCCCUCUGGCGCGUGCGCGUGUCUAGCCUAUAUGGCCGCGCUGCUGCUGAAUGCUGUUGGACUACUAUUGUUUGCUUUCUUCUUCUUCUUUUUCUUCACUUCUUUCUUCUUUAUUUGGCCACAUCAAAGCCCUUAUAGCUGUCCUCCUCACCUGCUUAAACUCAUCUACUUCCUCCAUCCUAGCCAUUGCUUGCCACUAUGCCAUUUCUAUGACUUGUCAUGCCUUCACCAUGCCAUUUUCAUGCCUUAGGAGUUCCAACUAUGCACACUGCAAAACAAACAAAAAAAGCAAAUAAAACAUACCAAAAAUACUUGAGUUGAGCAAAAUUUCAGUGAGUUGGUAACAAAUAAAUAGGUAUAAAACUUACUUAUCAUACGUUAUGCUCGAAACUAAACCACUUAAAUUGAACAUUUUUGCCUGGUGCUUGUAUACUAUGAGUGUUCUUGGUUUUUCCCCAUUUUUAACGAUUCUAGCUAGUGGAUUUAUUUACUUACAAAAAACUACUUUGACAAGAUUGACAAAGAAACUAGAUAUAUAUAAUCCCAUAUACCGUUAUUGCUUCUUCUCAAAGAAAAGAUGUUCACGACCCCUGGGACUUCUACCUCUUAUACACAUUUAACAAGGUUGAUUUAAAUUUGACAAAAUUGGGGGUUGAUGUAACGACCGAGAAAUUUUUACUUGGCUUAUAAUUAAGGUUUAUAAAAUAUUAUUGAAUAAAAUGAAAUUUUAUGAAUAUUAUUCUGUGAUAAGUGUUUAAAAGUCGAUUCUAUGACCUCAAAUGUGUUUGCAUGCUAGGAUUUACGAAUUUGAGUUCGUAUAAGAAAAUAAAAUUUUUUCGAGAAAAAGACAAAAAAACACUAGUCACCCAAAAACGCUUUUGCGCUUUUUUCGAUUUUUCGAAGAACGUGCUAACAUUAAUAUAACGAGAAAAGAUGGAAUAUCCAAUAAAAUUUGUAAAUGAAAAAUGCAAUUUUUCGACUGUGUAAUGAAUUUUGGAAGUUAAGAAGGUAUAAUACCGAUAUAAUACGAAAAUUAUAUGAUAGGAAUACAAAAGUCAAAAAUCAAAUAUUACGACUAAUUAGACAGUUGGAGAAACCAAACCGAGUGAAGAAGACCAAGUUAGGAUAACUAAACCCUAACUUGAUCCACAUGACUCGAAAUGUACCAAAGGGGGGAGGGAGCUUGUCAAGCAAGCUUGCUAUCCCAUCCCCCACCACUAAACCAUGGUUAGACAAUGGUUAAGCUAGCCAAAUGACCAAAUUUCCAUAACCCUUGCUUCACCUAUAAAUAACAAGUCAUUUCUCUUCUAAACCUCACCAAUUCACAAAGCAAGAAAAGAAACUUUAGGCAUUUUGAGAGAGAAGUGAGAGCCCUGGAAAUUCAUAAGUUUCGAAGGAGGAACGCAAGAUCAAACCAUCCAUUAAUUAAGAAUGCAAAGAGAACCAAAAAAGUAAGAUCGAGAACUCUAGCAUUUCGUUUAUUUAAACUCUUUGAAAAUAUAGAACGAAGUGUUUUGUUGGUGGUUGGAUGAUUCAUGUGAAUCAUGAGUGAUUCGAAGAGAUAAGGAAGAAAUAGCGGACUUAAAUCACUAAUAUAUGUAUGCAAAGUGAAAUCGUAGUUAAAAUAACGAGCUAAACGAAGAACGAAUCAAAAACAUGUUAAUUGUCGUAUAAACGAGUUAUUUGAAUUGUAGUUCAUAGCCUAACAAUGGUAAUCCGAUAAGGAGGAUGAUAUUAGUAGUGUAAAUCACGAAAAUAUGCAUGAUAAGUGGAAUCGUAAUCAUAAUAACACACUAAACCAAGAAAGCAUGAAAAUCAAGUAAUUGUUGUUGAAUGACAAGUUUAAAACCAUUAUUUGUAAGUUAGUUUUUAAUAUCCAAAAAGAAGGAAAUAAGCAUGUAUGAGUUGUUGAAAUGUUCCAAUUGGAAGAAAGUAAAAACAUGUUAUAACGAAGUUAUGGCGACAAUUUAAGUAAAAGACGUUAAACGUCGAAAUCCUAGUCUGGUAUGAUUUUCGAAUGAAUUUAUAAAGCUAGUUAAUGAUUAUGAAUAACGAAGAUUUUGUGGGAAUGGUAUACAUUAUAGUAUAAUUGAGUUAUGGGCUCAAGAACAAGCUAAUUCUAAUUUCGGAUGAGUAAGUUACGAAAAUUUGAAAAUUUAAACCUUAAGAACGUUAAGUUUAAAAACUGAGCGACGAGGGAUUUUUGAGCCGAUUGAAAGACUUGUUAGAAAAUUCAAAAAAUAAUUCCAUCCAGGGGGACUUGUAGUAUGUAGUAAGAGCAAGAAAUUGGCUCUUGAACGAAUUCAUUCCGAGGUGGGAUGAUAAAGUUAUGGAUUUGUGAAGUCGUUGCCAAAAUCAUUUGUGCAAAACUUAAGCUUGAAAAACUAAAAACCUAUACCGGCACCACAUCGCCGCUAUUUUAGUUCAUUUCGGUCGUCGCAGCGCCCAACUACUGUAUCUGGGGAAGGACAAUGUUGCAACGCCGGUUGUAUGCUUAAUCCAGGAGCACAACGCCGGGUCAGGUCAAAGCCCAGUAAUGAGUUAUUUUGAACUCAGAACUUGGGAUAGUCUUAUAGAAUAAUUUUAUUUAAACUAAUGUAUCACAAUAACAAGUCAUUAAAACCUUACCUAAUGGUUGAAGGUUAAUUGAAAAGACGAACAAUAUUAAGUGUAAAACACUUAACUUAAAUCAAAGAGUGUUAUGAAAGGUUGUGGGAUCGUGCUAAGCAUGUGCAAAGGCAUGUGGCUUGGGUGUUCGUGAAGGCUAUUAUGGCGUACGACGAACGAAUGCCGAAACGCCAUAACAAGUAAAAACAAACAUGAAAAGUGCUCCAAGUCUAAUGACACGGUCAUGAAGAGUAAUAAGUAGAGUUGACGUAAACCAAACUUGGUGUCAUUAUGUGCCUAAUUGAUGUGUUAUGGUUAAUGUAAAUGUUUAGGACAUUUGAAGGACGAUUAUCGUCAAUAUUAUAAAGAACGCUUAAGGCAAGUUUCCUAAAUUUACUCUGAUUUUAUUGAUCAAGUUUUCUAACUUCAUCUGAAUAUAUUCUCAUGAAGCUUGUGUAAUGUUUUUAAAGAUCAAAUGAACACAAUUCUUAUAUGUUUGUGUGAAUUACAUGCUUAUGUAAAUCUUAGUAUUUGUACAAGUAUUCAAGCUAUGUUAUGACAUAAAUUGUUAAAGUUCGAUAUCCAUGAACAAUCUAAGGAAGUGUUGAUGUCAUUUGUUUCGGCUAGACAAUUGUUAAAAUAAUUUAUUGAUUUGAUAUUAAAUCUUUGAAAUAUUAUUGAUGUUAAAUAGAGCUUUCCAAACCAAAUUAUUUUAGUACGGAUUCAAAGGUAAGCCUAAGGAUGAACGAAUAAAUGUUUUGAUCGAAUUUUUCGGCUGAUACACAAGGUGUCAAAAUUAAACACAAAGUCGUUUAAAUGGAUCAGUGUUGUACAACAUAGGGUACAAUAGGCUGAUCACCUAGACGUACUUAUAAGUGAUAUCGGAUUUACGAUUUUAAUGCCAGGAAGUCCUUUUCAAUGAAAGUAAAAAAAAGUUAUUGGUCCUACAACCAACUCAGUAUAAAUGACCAUUAUAUCAUCUAAAAAAUAUAUUUAAAUUAGGAAAAGUAUUAUUCUGGUUUAUUCAAAGUAUUAUUCUAGUUUAUUCAAAGUGUUUCACAACUAUUGAUCAGUUGUUGAAUGAUAAUCAUAUGAUUCUUGAUUUUGUUGUUGAAUUGUUAUACUUGUCGAGUAAUUAAAUGUUCAUCCUUGCUUAAACUAUAUGAUUUCAUCAAAGGUCGAACGUAUUGAAGAAUCCAGUAAGGAUAAAAUUUGGAAAAAGAGGAAGGAAUAGAAGAUCUUGUGAUAGAUUAAAAUUACUUAAUUAUGACAGUAUGAACAAGUAAUGGUUACAGAAUCUGAGAUUGAACGGAUAUGAUGUAAUAAUAUAGCAAUUACAUUUGUGUCAUUAAGCUUAUAUAGCUAGAUAUAUGUGGAUGUUGUAGUAUCGUGUAACACCUUAUCCAGGGUUUAAAGGUACCCAGGUUUUGGGGCUUCACAGUGGGGGCUGAUUGCUCUCAAUGAUUUAUUUAAAGAUGGAUCUCUGAGGGAGCAUCACUUCCAAUUUGGGUGAAGAACAUCCUUUUUUGCCAAAGUAAUAUCCUAAGUGUGCUCCUAUUUAAAAGAAAAACUAUUACUAUCCUAAGUGUGACCCUAUUUAAAGGAUUCCUCUUAUAUUUUCCCAGACCAAACUGAACUACAGUAGUAUAACAACAAUAAUAUUUAAUAGAUUAUUAUGUUCUCAAUUAACCUUAUCAUUCCCAUCUCAGGCAUUAUCUACUCGAGUGCUUACCUCACCAUACACAAACUUGAUAAUCCGAACCUUAAAAACCAAUAAUUUUUUUGUUUUUAGUUUUUUGUCAGAAAAUCAAGUAACUACAGAAUAAAAUUAACUAAGCUAAAGGAAAAAAGACUUGCAAGAGACAAAAUAGUAAUGUUUAUUCAUUUAAUCGAUACCCAAAACAAAACUGAGACUCUACAAAUAUAUACUGCAAUCUACCAUUCUGUUGAGGCUAACUACCCGACCCACUAGAAGGCUAACACGUGGACUACUGAAGCUGAGCAAAAUGCUGCAGCAAAGUAAUUAACAACUCUAUGGUAAACGAUUGUGUUUCACUAACUGACUCAAUAUUUUAGAUGCUGACAUUCCCCUUUCCUUGAGAAUUUCCUUGCCCACAAGGAUUAAAGUUUGGAAACAGCUUAUUAAUUUGUGCCCAUUCUUCCCAGGUAGCAUCUUCUAGAAUUUUAUUGGACCAUUGUACCAAAACCAAAGUGACUGGUCUAUUGCCUCUUUUGAUCAAUCUUCUGUCCAGAAUUGUAGUAGGCUCCGGCCUCAACUCACCUUCUUCUGAUACUUGAGGAAGCAUAGUCUGAACAACCCUCUUAGCUCCUAUCUUUUUCUUAAGUUGUGACACAUGAAAGACAUCAUGAAUUUUGGUUAUCGUAGGUAACUUCAGCUGGUAGGCUACCUUUCCCACUCUUCUAAUUAUAGUAUAAGGCCCAUAGUAUUUGGCCGAUAACUUUAGAUUCUUCCUGGCACUUAGAGAUAAUUGUCUAUAAGGUUGUAAUUUUAGGAACACUUCAUCUCCCACAUCCAGCUCCCUUUCUGUCCUCUUUUUAUCUGCAUAAAUUUUCAUCCUUUCUUGAGCCUUCUAUAAAUUCUCCUUGAGCAGCUGCUCUCUGUCCUUGACAAAAUUCCUUACUGUGGAAUUAUCAACUUUAUCUAUCAGGUGAUAAUUCAGAAUAGGAGGAUCUGUCCCAUAUAGAGCCUUGUAAGGGGUCAUUCCAAUGGACGUAUGGUAAUUGGUGGUGUACCACCAUUCGGCCAAGGGUAGCCAUCUCUUCCACUGUGUAGGUUUGUGUCCACUCAUACACCUCAAGUACAUUUCAAUGCAUUGAUUUACCCUUUCAGUUUUCCCAUCUGUUUGAGGGUGGUAGGUUGUGUUUAGUUUUACUUUUGUUCCCAAAGCCUUAAACAACUCCUUCCAGAAACUGCUCACAAAUAUUUUGUCCCUGUCUGAUAUAACAGAUUUUGGGGGUCCAUGAAGUUUAACUACCGAAUCCAGAACCAGUUGGGCUGCUUAGGAGGCUGUAAAGGGGUGUGCUAAUGCCAUUAGGUGACAACCUUUGGUGAACUUAUCCACUACUAACAGUAUGGUAUCCAUUCCUUCAGAUUUUGGGAGACCUUCUAUAAAAUCCAUAGUAAUGACUUCCCAUGCUUGACUGGGAAUGGGAAUAGGCUGUAACAAACUUGGGGUUGGUAUAUGCUCGGACUUAUUCCUCGGACAAACCUCACAAUGCCUUACAUAUUCAGUCAAGUCCUUCUUAAGGCUAGGCCAAUAAAAGAUAGUUUUAGCUCUCUUAAUGAAAAAUGUAGUGCCAGAAUGCCCUCCUUCUGGGCCAUCAUGGAUAGAUUCCAUGAUUUUUAGUCUUAAGUCUCCUGCAUUUCCCACGUAAAUUUUUCCCCGUCUUCUUAGUACUCCUUGAAUUCGAAGGAAUUUUGGGAGUUACAAUCAGCUUAGCCAUGAUCUGUUGAGCCUCUAGAUCUCCAUCUAAGCUACUGAUGACUUCUUCUUUCCAGCUGGGACUAACUUCUAUAACUGUAGUGCAGUUCACUUCUGUUUCAUGUUGCCUUGAUAAUACAUCUGCAGCCAAGUUAUCUUUUCCCUUUUUAUACAUAAUGGUGUAAUCAAAGCCCAACAUUUUGGAUACCCACUUCUGCUGCACCAGAGUAGUUAGCUUUUAUUCUAUGAAAUAUUUCAGGGCUUUAUGGUCUGUCUUUAUAAUAAAUCUUUGUCCCAAAAAGUAGGUUCUCCAUUUCUGAACAGCCAUUAUGAUGGCCAACAAUUCCUUCUCAUAAGUUGAUAACCCUAAAUGUUUUUCAAAUAGGGCUUUACUAAAAUAUGCCAAGGGCUUCCCUUCUUGCAUCAAGACAGCCCCUACUCUUAUCUGGCAGGCAUCAGUUUCUAAUACAAAUGGCUUGCUAAAGUCCGGUAAGGCAAGAACUGGGGUGGUUAACAUAGCUUCUUUUAAUUUGUUGAAUGCUUCUUCAGCCUCAGAAUUCCACUUGAAGGCACCCUUUUUGAGCAGGUUAGUUAAUGGUCUUGAGAUGGUACCAUAAUGGUGUACAAACCUCCUAUAAUAACCUGUAAGGCCUAGGAAUCCCCUUAGUGAUUUCAGGGUAUUGGGACUGGGCCACUAGUCAUGGCCUCUAUCUUGGUGUCAUCUGCUGCAACUCCUUCUUCCUUAAUCACAUGUCCCAAGUAUUCCACCCUUGGUUGAGCAAAAUUGCACUUGCUUUUCUUCACAAACAACUUGUUUUCUCUAAGAAGGGUAAACACUUGCCUGAGAUGUGUAAGGUGAUCCUCCAAAGUUUAACUGUAUACCAGAAUGUCAUUAAAAAAUACCAGUACAAAUCUCCUUAGAUGAUGACUGAAAACCACAUUCAUUAUACAUUGAAAAGUGGUUGGGGCAUUGGUUAGCCCAAAAGGCAUUACCAUGAAUUCAUAAUGCCCUUGAUGUGUUUUAAAUGUUGUUUUCUAAAUAUCCUCAUCCUUUAGUCUGAUCUGAUGGCAUCCACUUCUCAAAUCCAACUUGGUGAAAAUUUUGCUGCCCUUGAGCUCAUCCAAAAGUUCUUCUAUCACUGGUAUGGGAAACUUAUUCUUUAUGGUAAUUUUAUUCAAGGCUCUAUAAUCCACGCAAAACCUCCAGGUGUGAUCCUUCUUCUUUACUAGCAGGACAAGAGAAGCAUAAGGGGAUGUGCUAUGCCUAAUGAUCCCACUGUUUAACAUUUCUCUCAUCAUCUUUUCUAUUUGUAUUUUUUGGAUGUAUGGGUGUGACAACCCGAAAAUCGAAUUGUCCAUAAUUUAAGAUUUAAAGAAUUAGUUAUUAAUAAAAUGAAUUUUUAUUAAUAAUAUUUUGUGCUAUGUGUUUAUUAAUCGUUCUACAACCUAUGAUGAUUAUAAAUCGGGAGGAUUCUGGCUACGAGCUAGACUGAACGAGUAAGAAUUUUCAAGGCGAAAAUAAAAAUUUCCCAGGAACAAAAUAUUUUUGAGGAAAAAGACGAAAUAGGCACUAUUCACCAGACAAAACUCUAAGGGUUAGGGUUUGAAUAACCUAAGCCUUUUCUAGAGUUCGGUAUGUCGAAAUGACAUUCCGUCGAAAGAUUUGAUGAUAAUAUAUCGUGAAAUGUUAAGUAAAUCGAUAAAAAUUUUCUCGAAAAACGUAUAAAAAUCGAACGAAAUAAAAAAGAUGAAAAGUACUGUUAUGUACUUUUCAUCUGUUUAACUACGUUAGGGGAAAAUAUGAAGAAAAACGCUUAAUGUCGAAAAGUGUUUUUCAGUUUUUCAGAGAUCUGAAGAAUGCAUAAAAGUUAAACUGUAAAUGAAAGACGAAAUAUCCAAAAAUAUUUGGAUUCCGAGAAUCGCAAUUUUUAAAAUUGUCGGACGAAUCCCGAAAGACGGAACCACGAAGCUUCCAGGAGAAGCUUCGUGAAUAGUAAGGAGGUGUGAAUAGUAACCGAAGGGGCAAAAUGACUAUUUUGCCCCUAACUUUGGAAAUCUAUAAAAAGGAAGCUUAUUUCAUUUGUUUAGGAUUUUGAAAAUCCUCCAACAUUUGAGAGAGAGAUUUCGGAUGAGGAAGAAGGGGAAGAGGAGGAGGAAAAGCUUGCUCGUGAGCAAACUUUAUCCGUCAGAAGGAGAUUAAAGAAGAAAGGUAUCGAAAAACCUAGCCUCUGAAUUAGUUUUUCUUUAAGUUUAUAUGUUAAAAAACAUAGCUUAAUGAGAAUAAGAAGUAAAAGAUGUUAGGAAUGAUUUCAUAUGGUUGAAAUCAUGAGAAAAUGAAGAAAUAAGAAUUAGAAGUUUAUUUUAUAACUUUCUUAAAGAAGUAUAAGAUUCAGAAUGAAUUUGAGCGAUCUGAAUGAAUCAUAUGAACGAUUUGGUGAAAUAAGUAAGGAAUUAUGUUAUAUAACAUCAAAUUCCAAGAAAAAGUGAAAUCGUAAUCAAAAUAUCGAUUAAAAUGAAGAACGAAGGAAGAACGCAAAGAACGCGAAGAAUGUUGUUGAUGGACAAAUUUAAAACCAUCGUAGUGUAAUUGUUGUUGAUGGACAAGUUUAAAACCAUUGCGUAUAAGUUAGAUGCUUAUUGCUUGGUUAGGAACAGGAGAAACGUUCAUGAAGAACGGAUUAAAACGUAACUAUAACGAAGUUAUGGCGAAAAUUUGUAAAAGACGAAUGAGAAGUAGAAAGUGUGUAAAUGAACCCGAAGAGAUAGGGUUUCAUAAGAAUGUAAGAGAACGUAGAAAACGUGAGUUGUGGACUUAAGAACGAACGAAUUCCAAGUUCGAAAGACCGAAUUACGGACGAACGAACGAAGAUCGUUAAAAAUGUAAAACGAAUGCAUGGUGAAGAUUAAGCCAAUCGAAUGGCAUGUUAACGGAUUCAGAACGAAUUUCUGUCCGAGGGGGAUUGAAGUACAAAAGAUAAGGAAGAGAAGGAUUUUGGAAUAAUCUCGUUCCGAGUAAUAAUGAAUAAGUUAUGAGAUCGAGAAGUAAGCGGCUCAAACUAAAUUUAACACUUAGAAAAAUUUUCAAAAGUUAGGGUUUGGCGCCGCAGCGCCAGUCAUGCUUUGUAAGCUGGCGCCGCAGCCCCAGACCGAAGAGUAAAACACUGAAAACUCGCGGUACAGCGCGAGUCAUAGUGCAGAGAUUGACGCCGCGGCGCCAGUGGCGCUGCAACGCGAGGGAAAGGAAGGGGACCGGUGCCGCAACGCCGGUGCAGGGCAAAUCCCAGUAAUGAGCUUUUAACUGAUUAAAACCUGGGGGAAGUGUAACGAAAGCUAAUAAACGUGUAAUUUAUGUAAAGUAACACUUAAUCAAGUGAAUUAAACCUUUAAUGAAGGUUGAACGGAAAGAUUAAAUGAGAUUAAAAGAUAAAGAAUGUAAAUGCUGGUUACAGAAUUGAUAUCCGGGGACCGUAGUCGCGAUAAACGAACGAGAGAGAUUGCUAUGGUUGUGAUUCCUUAGACGUUGAGUGACGAGGGUAAUGAAUAAAUUUCGAUGUUAUGUUGUGGUAAUGAGAGAUAAGUGUAAAGCGUAUAGACGCUAUGAACGCAACGCUGUUGCGAUGGACGAUCGGUCUUAGCAUACAGUGAACCGUAUGGCUUCGACAUUAAGAAAGAGUAAUGAACAUGGGGUUCAUGUAAUGGAUAACAAAAGUAAUAAGUAAGAUAUGAACUAUCAAUAAAGCCGUAACGAACGGUAAUAAGAUCAAUGAAAGCUGAAUGUGAGUCAGAUAAGAAAUGAAUCCUGGGGUUUGGCAUUUAGUUGCCAGAAAGCCAUAAGCAAUAAGAAAUUGACUUAACGAACAUUAUAGUUUAAUAGUUCGGAUAAGUUAAGAUAAGUUUAGGUUGUGGAACAAUCGUAACCUUUAAUGGUUGACAUAUGGGAGUUGGGCUAAACAAUUCCUUAAGAGAGCGAAGGUAUAUACGAAACUGGCAACUGAUCUAACUCACUGUGAUGGCAGUGUAGACGAGAUGAGAACUUGUUUAUUGGUUGUUUGUGGGAAACCACUCAGAAUACCAUAUGGAUUACUAGUAGAGAAGCGAUACGUGCUGAGUCCUAGAGAAGUUAUAAGAAGAAGAUAAAAAAUGUAAAUCAUCAAAGAUGAUGAACGUAUGAGUAAGACAUCUCCGUAUGUCAUAAAGCCGUAAAUCAGUAAAGAAAGUUGGUCGCGUAAACUUAGGUUGCAAGAACGCGAACCCUAAGAAGUAAAGUUAAGCAUAAACCAAUGCGUAAGUCAAGUAUAUGACUAAUUGGUGUACGUGUUAUUUCCUUAUGUGUUUUAUAGGGAUUGGAAUGAGCAGUUCAAUGUAAACUUUAAGUUGUAGCUGUGCGUAAAACAAGUUUUCUAACUUCAUUCAUAUUCUAAAUGAAUGUUAGUUUCUUAAACUUCUCAGAUGUUGAACUUAAGAAGUUCUGUCUAUGUGCGAAUGUGCGAUAUUUGUACAAGGUGGUAGAAUGUAUGAGGUCUUGUGCCACAAUGUGAACACUUCGGUGUUUUUAUGAUAUGAACUGUUCUGUGGUUGAAUUGUUCAAUAUGAAAAUGUUCUGUUUAUACAUGAAUUGUUAUUGUUAAGUUUGUGCUAAUGAUUCUAGCCAGACAGGAUGUGUAUAAAAAAGGUAGAAGAAUGAAAGUAUUUCAAAGUGAAUGUGAUUAAUGUUUUAAAAUGAUAGAAAUCAGAAUUAUUCCUAUUAUUCAAGUUGCUUCAUAACCUUUGUUCGAUUAUCGAAGUUCUAAAGAAACGUUUAAACUCUUGAAGUUGUUUAUUCAACUGCUAUGACUUGCUGGGCAAUUGAAUGCUCACACUUGCUUUAAAUGAAAAAACAUUUUCUGCGUACGAGUAGAAGAACCUAAUGAUCCCAUAAAGAUCAAGCUGAUCGGUAUCCAGAAGAAGUACCACUCAUUAGAUGAAUGAGUGUGAAGAUCAAGCGAAGACUUGUAAUAUAGAAUGAUAGAGUUAAACUAUAGACUAGUUUAAUGAACAGUUAUGUAUCCUUGGUGGCAGAUGAAAGUCACUCGUGUAAGAUAAAAAGAAUAAUGUAAUUAUCAUUAUUUGUACUGAACGAGGUUAUAAGGUAUUAGAACUUGGGAAUUGAGAAUUUAUGUUGUUAUAUUUCAGUAUAUAAUGAUGUAUGUUUGGAUGAAUGUUGUACUCGUGACGUACAGAAUCCGGGUGUGAAGAUAGACUGGAUUCCAGAGUGUUACAAGUUGGUAUCAGAGCUGAUAGGUUAUAAACCAUAGGUAUGAGUACCUAAGGCUAUAAUCGUAGAAAGAAGGAUAAGAAAAUCGUUGAGUUAAACGAUUAAGGAAGAAGAUCACCACGUGAUAAUAUUGAAUCGUAACAACAGAUAUUCUAUUAAACGAUGGAUGGUUUAUAGCCAAUGCUAUAAAUGAAUGGUACUACGAAGUAGUAUGCGAAGAAGAACUCAUAUUGAGUUGUAAAGGAUAGCAUACAAAUUAAAGAAAAUUCGUAUUAAGUAAAGAGAAAAUUAGAAGUUGUAAAAUUUCAAUUGAGGACUUAUGUGAUAGCUGAGUUGUAUGAACCUUUAUUAUGGACCAGAGGUUUAUGCUUUGAUGUAUCUGUGACAACCGAGACUUUGUGAUUUAAUUUUAAAUAUUUAUUGGAUUGAAUAAAUAUUUUUCGAUGAAUUAAUUAUUAGAUUAAAUGAUUAAUUGAUGAAGUUGUGGUAGAUUAAUUUAAUUAUAUGUGUUAUAUUUAUUAAAUUAAUGUGGAGAAUUUUUAUUAUUUGAAGUAUGUGAUUAUGUGAGCUUAUUGUAUUAAAAGAAAUAUUUAAUAAGCCUGAUAGUAUUUUAAUUAAUUUAAUUAUUAAUUAGAGAUUUAAUGAUUGAUAUUAUUAUUAAAUGAGAAAAUUUAAUUAUGUGACUAUGUGCAUUAUUGAGAAAUCAUUAUAUUUUAUUUAAAGUAAAUUAAAUAAGAUAUUGAUUUAUUUUUUAAAGGAGUGCGACAUUAUUUAAACUAUAUGAUAAUGUUUUAUUAAAUUAAAUGGUUUUUAAAUUAUUUUCUUGCUAGCCAAACAUGGCACUAAGGGAGGUUAUGGGCAGUUAACCCAUGACUGGGUAACUGACCACCAACGCGUCAGUUCAUUCUUUUAUUUAUACGUCUUCUUUCUUUUCUUUUCUUUUUUGGCUAAGUCUGGCAUUAAACAGAGAGGGAAAAGAGAGAGUUUCAGAAUUUAGAAAAUUGUUAAGGAGAUUGUGAGUGUUUGAUUGAAGAACAGUUGAGAAGAAUUCCACCUUCUACAAAAGUUAUAUUCUACACUUUGGGUAAUUUUUCCCCAACCCAAUUCUCAUAUUUUACGUUAUUUAAGUUUUGAUAAAAAUGACUUUCAAAACUCUGUAAGGUCUCUGUUAAUUGUAAAGAGUAGGAAUUAUGUGAUUAUGUGUUAAUAUAACAUCAUAGCAUGUUUUAAUAUAUAUUAUAUGGGUUUUUCAUAUCUUCAGUUUCAUGAAAUUAUAUAGUAAAAGAUUGCAGAGUAUGUAAUAUGGCCAUAUGGCCUUAUACGUGAUUUUUAUAUGUCAAACAUAAACUGUUUUGCAAAAUUCACACCCUAACAUGAUUAUGCAUGCUAAAACAAACAAAAUGAUAUUUGAAUGGUUGGAUUUGGUUUUAUAACGAAUCCGUGGCGUUGAAUUUUAGGAAAUUAUGUUCAAAACUUCAAGAACAUCAAGAACAGUAUAAUUUGCACGUUGAAUUUUGUAAUUAUAUGUUUUUAUGGGUGAAAAUCACUCUAUAUAUGUUGGGUAAUGGUUAUGUAUAAAUUCUAGCAUGUGGGUAUAUUUAAUUUGGUGAAAUUUAUGAUUAUGUAGAGUUUAUUUUGCUGAAUUCUGUGUUCUUCGCGAACUGGAAAUUCAGAAUCUGGAGUGUCGUGCCGCGACGCCAACUCCAGGCCUGAGACUCGCGCUGCAGCGCCACGGCGCCGCAGCGCCAAGACAUAGUAUAAAAGUGGCACCGCAGCGCCACUUAGCAGAAUGGUCAGGAUUGAGUUUUUAAAAGUGUUCAAGUAUAGAAAUGAGUUAGUAACUUAGUCUAAUGAUUAUAAAGACUUGUUAGACCUAUAAUGAGAUGUUAAAAUAAAUUCUUAACAUGUCCAUAACACAAUUACGUGUGGAUUGAAUGAUCGAAUGCAUAAUUAGUUAUUUUUCGUGAAGUCUUAAUUUUACACUAAGUGUAAUAAUUGACUAAGUAUAGUCAUUAAUUCGAGUUAAACAAAGAGUAAAGUUAUGUUGUUAGUACGUUAUUAUUGACUGGUAUUGUGAACGUAAUUGGUAUGUAGGAUUUAAUUCAAAGAACGAGUUUGAUUAAGUGUCUAUUUCGUCUUUUUCCCCAAAAAUAUUUUGUUCCCAGAAAAAUUUUAUUUUCGUCUUGAAAAUUCUUACUCGUUUAGUCUAGCUCGUUGCCAGAAUCCUCCCGAUUUAUAAUCAUCCUAGGUUCUAGAACGAUUAAUAAACACAUAACACAGAAUAUUAUUAAUAAAAAUUUAUUUUAUUAAUAACUAAUUCUUUAAAUCUUAAAUUCUGGACAAUCCGAUUUUUCGGGUUGUCACAUUCUUCCUCCCUUAUAAAAAUUCCGUCUUCGUAAUUUCUAAAACCACACCCAUUCCCGGGUCAUCACAUUCACCCAUUCUUCACUUGAUUUCGUCCUCGAAAUUUUAGCUUACACUUCUUCUCAACUUCUCUUCAAAGAAGUUCUUAUCAUUCAAACAUUCCCUAGCCUUCAUAACUUACCAAGAAUCAUGAAGUAGAAGGAAUAAAUAGGAAUAUAAAGAUUCCUUUAAAACAUUUAUACUUUAGCUGAGGGGUCAAAUCGACCAUGAACUCUUACUUGGUUUAAUAGCAUUUCACCUUUAAACCCUUCUAUCACGGUCAGUUUACAAUCACCAAGAAAGCAAACUACCUCUUCCAUACGUAGGCGAUCAACCCGUCGUAUAACCCCAUUUCAGGGUAUGUUCAUCUCAGACUUAAUCAUUAGAUUCCUCACCAAAACAAUUUGGUUCGGCAUAACUCUUCAAAGAAAGCUCGAUUUUCUUAUGACAUGACAUACCAUUUGUCUUAGCCAAAUCAAAUAGCUUAGACCAUACCAAUAAAUUGGACAUCAACUUGAAACAUUCGUCUAGUCAAAUCAAUUGACAUCGACUACUUCUUUAAAUUCUUUUACAAUACAUCAAAACGUUUUAUGACGUCAUGAUACCGUACUUUUCACAGUACGUUGAGGACUUUGUCAGUUUAUGACUUCAUCAUUAUACAUCAUACCAUAGCGGGUUGUUAAUCAUAAGAUCACAUCCAACACCAGGUUCAAUUGCAUUAAUAACUCCAUCCUUUUACCAUCCUUGCAUCAAAUGCACUGAUGAUAUAAAAUUCAUUUUGAUAUUUCAAAUCAAUUUCUGUCUAGCCGAAACAAUUAGCAUAGACAUACCAAGAAUAGUUCUUUUAAAAUCCAUUGGUUCCAAAAGUUGAACCAAUUCUUUCAUUUUCAAAAUGCGCAUACAUAAGCACGAUUUCAAUAAACUUCAAAAUCUAGUAUAGCUAGAUGACUUGGAAUAUCUUAUUCUCCAUCUUCAUUCAUUGUCUUACUUGUAACAAUACUUAAUCUUCUCUAGCACCUUCAAUGCUAAUUCUACUGAAAAUACACGCUUUCAGUCUAAACAUCCCUAUACCUUAGUACAAUCCAUCAACUUACUACACAUUAUGAGUUCAGGAACUUUCCACAAUAAUAUGAAUUUAAGAACUUAUCCUAGUCAGACCAUAAGCGUCCAUUCGCUGAGAAGUUCAAAAACAUACCAUAUUAUUAUGAGUCACGAACUUACCAUAAGUAUGAGUUUCAAGAACUCGCACCUACCUUAUCGUUCUCUACCUAUCACACAUAUAUAUGAGAAAAGAUUCACCUUCUCGUCAUAUACAAUAUUGAUAGCGCAACCAAUUCCAAUGAUUAUCACUGCAAUAAACUGAGUGGUUGUUACCCCAAAGCACAAACUCAUGCCCACACAAAAGUUCAUACAACUCAGCCAUCACAUGAGUCCUAAAUUGAAAUCUUACAACUUCUAAAUUUCUCUUUACUUAAUACAAAUUUUCUUUAAUUCAUAUGCUAUCCUUUAUAACUCAAUCUGAGUUCUUCUUUCCAUACUACUUCAUAGUACCAUUCAUUGAUAGCAUUAGCUAUAAAUCAUUCAUCGUUUAACAGAUCAUCUGUUACUACGAUUCACUAUGAUCACGUGGUGAUUUUCUACCUUAAUCGUUUAACUCAACGAUCUUCUUAUCAUUCUCUCUAUGAUUAUAGCCUUAAGUACUCAUACCUAAGGUUUAUAACAUAUCAGCUCCACUCUGUAACGCCCCGAAAUUUGGUCUAUCCUUAUACCCAAAUUUUGUACGUCACGGUUCCACUUCUUUCCAAACAUACAUCAUUAUAUAAUGAAAUAUAACAACAUAUAUUCUCAAUUCCCAAGUUCUAAUACCUUAUAACUUCUUUCAUUACAAAUAAUGAUAAUUACAUUAUUCUUUACAUCUUACACGAGUGACUUUCAUCCGCCACCAAGGAUACAUAACUGUUUAUCAAACUAGUCUAUAGUUUAAUUCUAUCAUUCUAUAUUACAAGUCAUCGCUUGAUCUUCACACUCAUUCAUCUAAUGAGUGACACUUCUUCUAGAUACCGAUCAUCUUGAUCUUUACGGGAUCCUUAGGUUCUACUAACAUCGUUCGCUAAAAAUGUUUUUUCAUUUAAAGCAAGUGUGAGCAUUCAAUUUCCCAGCAAGUCAUAGCAGUUGAACAAACAACUUCAAGAAUUUAAACAUUCUUUUAAGACUUCAAUAACCAAACAAAGGGUAUGAAGCAGCUUGAAUAAUAAGAAUAAUCUCGAUUCCUAUCAUUUUAAAACAUUAAUCACAUUCACUUUCAGAUUUCUACCUUUUUCAUACUCAUCUUGUCUGGCUAUAAUUAUUAGCACAGACUUAACAAUAAUGGAUCAUGUAUAAACAGAACAUUCUCUUAUUGAACAGUUCAAUCACAGAACAGUUCAUCGCAUAGAAACACCGAAGUGUUCAAGUUGUGGCACAAGGCCUCAUACAUUCUAUCACCUUGUACAAAUAUCGCACAUUCACACAUAGACAGAACUUCUUAAGUUCAACAUCUGAGAGAUUUAAGAAACUAACAUUCAUUUAGAAUAUAAUAGAAGUUAGGAAACUUGCCUUACGCACAGCUAUAACUUAAAGUUUACGCUGAACUGCUCAUUCCAAUCCCUAUAAAACACAUAAGGAAAUAACGCGUACACCAAUUAGUCAUAUACUUGACUUACAAAUUGGUUUAAGCUUAACUUUACUUCUUAGGGUUCGUGUUCUUGCAAACUAAGUUUAUGCGACCAACUUUCAUUACCGGUUUACGGCUUUAUGACAUACGGAGAUAUCUUACUCAAUACGUUCAUCGUCUUUAAUGAUUUACAUUCUUAUCUUCUUCUUAUAACUUCUCUAGGACUCCACACACAUCGCUUCUUUGCUAGUAGUCCAUAUGGUACUCUGAGUGGUUUCUCACAAAUAACCAACAAACAAGUUCCCGUCUCAUCUACCCUGCCAUCACAAUGAGUUAGAUCGGUUGCCAGUUUCGUAUAUACCUUCGCUCUUUGAAGGAAUUGUUUAGCCCAACUCGUAUAUGUCAAUCAUCAAAGGUUACGACUAUACUACAACCUAAACUUAUCUUAACUUAUCCGAACUAUUAAACUAUAAUGUUCGUUAAGUCAAUUUCAAAUUCCUUAUGGCUUUCUAGCAACUAAAUGUCAUAUCGUAGGAUUCAUUCUUAUCUUCUAAGUCAAACAAUCUUUUGUAUACUCAGAACGAUCAUUCAAGUUAAUCAUUAACUCAGCUUCUUUACGUUAUGCGUACUUGUCUUUAAUUCAGCUUUUUCAUCAUUCACGGUUUAAUCAUUGGUCUUCAUUAUCAUACGGUCAAACCAUACAUGGGGUGUAGGUUUUGCCCGUUUAAUAUUCGCGUACACUCAACCUUCACAUCGGUUAAAGUGUUUAAUGCUUACAUUUCAUUCUAACAUUCUCAUCCAACUCAUGUUCGGCUUUCAUUAAUCUUAUUAUCGUUCGCUACGGCUUUCUUGACACCAUUCCUUAUUCUUUCUUAAAAAUUUCGUUAUCCAUUACUUGAACCCCAUAUUCAUUACUCAUUCUUAAUGUCGAAGCAAUACCGUUCGCUGUAUGCUAAGACCGAACGUUCAUCGCAACAACGUUGCGUUCACAGCGUCUAUACGCUUUACAUUUAUCUAUCAUUACCACAACGUAAUAUCGAAAUGUUAUUCAUUACCCUCGUCACUCAACGUCUAAGGAAUCACAAUCAUAGCAAUCCCCCAUGUUCGUUUAUCGCGACUACGGUCCCUGGAUACAGGUUUCGUAACCCGCAUUUACAUUCUUUGUCUUUUAAUCUUGUUUAAUCUUUUCGUUCAACCUUCAUUAAAAGUUUAAAACACUUGAUUAAGUGUUACAUUCGAUGAACUAUAUGUUCAUUAGCUUUUGGUACACUUCCCCCAUGAUUUGAGCAAUUAAAAGCUCAUUACUGAGCUUUGCCCUGCAUCGGCGCUGCAUUGCCGGUCCCCUUUCUUUCCCUCGCGCUGCUGGGCCACUGGCGCCGCGGCACCACUCUCUGUACUAUAACUCGCGCUGCGGCGCGAGUUUCUAGUGUCUGGCUCUCUGGUCUGGCACUACGGCGCCAACUUACAAAGCAUGGUUGGCGCUGCGGUGCCAAGCCCUAUUUCUUGAAAAAUUUUCUAAGUCUUUAAAUUGUUCUGAGACGCUUACUUCCCGAUCUUAUAACUUCUUCGUUAUAACUCGAAACGAGGUCGUUCCAAAGUCAUUCUCUUCCUUAUCUUACGUACUUCAAUCCCCCUCGGAUAGAACUUCGUUCUGAAUCCGUUAACAUGCCAGUCAAUUGGCUUAAUCUUCGUCCUUCGUUUGUUUUACAUUUUUAACGUUCUUCGUUCGUUCGUCCGUAAUUCGGUCAUCCAAACUUGGAAUUUGUUCGUUCUUGAGUCCACGACUCAUGUUUUCUACGUUCUCCUACAUUCUUAUGAAACCUUACAUCUUCGGGUUCAUUUACACACUUACUAAUUCUCGUUCGUCUUUUACAAAUUUUCUCCAUUACUUCGUUAUAGCUACGUUUUUAAUCCAUUCUUCAUGAACAUUUCUACCGUUCCUAACCAAGUAAUAAGCAUCUAACUUAUACGUGAUAGUUUUAAACUUGUCCAUUAACAACAAUUAUCCUAUGAUGGUUUUAAAUUUAUCCAUCAACAACGUUCUUCGCAUUCUUCGUUCGUUCUUCGUUUUUAAUCGAUAUUUUGAUUACGAUUUCACUUUUUUCUUGGAAUUCGAUGAUAUAAAACACCAUUCCUUACUUAUUUCACAGAAUCGUUCAUAUGAUUCAUUCGGAUCGCUCUAAUUCAUUACGAAUCUUAUACUUCCUUAAGAAAUUUAGAAAAUAAACUUAAAAUUCUUAUUUCUUCAUUUUCUCAUGAUUUCAACCAUAUGAAAUCAUUCCUAACAUCUUAUACUUUUUAUUCUCAUUAAGCUAUGUUUUAAACAUAUAAAACUUAAAGAAAAACUAUAUAAAAAUUAUGUUUCAGAUUAUCUUCCUUCUUUAAUCUUCUUCCGUCGGACAAAGUUUGCUCACGAGCAAACUUUUUCUCCUCUUUUUCCUCUUCUUUCACAUCCGAAAACUCUCUCUUUCUCUCUCUCUCUCUCUCUCAAGUGUUGUAGGAUUUUCAAAAUCCUAAACAAAUGAAAUUAAGCUUUCUAUUUAUAGAUUUUCCAAGCUAGGGGCAAAAUAGUCAUUUCGCCCCUCUGGUUACUAUUCACACCUCCUUACUAUUCCACCUCCUUACUAUUUAUGAAACUUCCCUUGGAAGUUUCGUAGUUCCGUCUUUUAGGUUUCGUCCAACAGUUUUUAAAACUGUGAUUCUCGGAAUCAAAAUAUUUUUGGAUAUUUCGUCUUUCCUUUACCGAUUAACUUUUACGUAUUCUUCAGAUCUCCGAAAAACUGAAAAACACUUUUUUGGUGUCAAGCGUUUUUCUUCACGUUUUCCCUUAACGUAGUUAAUCGAAUGAAAAGUACAUAACAGUACUUUUUGUCAUUUUUAUUUCGUCCGAUUUCUGCACGUUUUUCGAGAAAAACUUUUAUCGACUUACUUAACUUUUCACGAUAUAUUAUCGUCAAAUCUUUCGAUGGAAUGUCAUUUUGACAUACCAAACUCUUGAAAAGGCUUAGGUUAUUCAAACCCUAACCCCUAGGGUUUCAUCAAGUGAAUAGUAUCUAUUUCGUCUUUUUCCCCGGAAAUAUUUUGUUCCCGAAAUUUUUUUAUUUUCGUCUUGAAAAUUCUUCCUCGUUCAGUCUAGCUCGUAACCACCAUCCUCUCGAUUAAUAAUCAUCCUAGGUUCUAGAACGAUUAAUAAACACAUAACCCAGAAUAUUAUUAAUAAAAAUUCAUUUUAUUAAUAACUAAUUUUUUAAAUCUUAAAUUCUGGACAAUCUGAUUUUUCGGGUUGUCACAAGUUUAUUGAAUUGCCCAAUUAAAUUCUCAUGUCCCCUUGAGACAAAUCUUUUACAAAUUUGGCUGACAAAGUCUUCUCAUAACAAGCAGGUGUGCUCAUCCUGAAAGGACUGGGUACCAGACAUCUGCUUCACCUUCAAGGUACAAGGCUGCAUAUAACACCUUAGUUCUGGAAUCCAGUAUUGGGUUUAAUUAGAAGAAUUUUUCAUAUUUUUUAAUCCAUCCCCUGGGAUACUUUCCCUCAAACCUUGGAAAAUCUAUAUUGGGCAUUGAUAAAUUCUGAAUGGGAGACUGUGGUCUCACAAGGUUCCCUUCUACAGUUGGGGGCCAGGGAUAAGCAAUGGUAGUGACUGAAGGGGGGCUAUAAUUCCUGAAUAAGCUGGUGGGAAGAGGGUGAUGGGCAUGAUGGAAGGUGACAUACUCAUUACUAGUGAGUUAAUUCCAGGAACUAAAGCAGAUGUUCCCAAUGUAUGAUUCAUAUCAGUAUGAAACCAGGGAUAAGAAGUAACAUUAUUGUAAGGAUUUCUGUGAUUAGUUAGAGGAGUGGUGUUUAUGCUUAUGAGUCGAACAUAAGGUUCAGUGGGUAAAGAGUUAAGGAAAGCAGGAUUAUAUGGAAUCUCAAAUGAUGUAGUAUGUGCAGAAACUGCUAUAUAUGCCUUAUUGAUGUUAUGAGGAGUUGUAUUCAUGACCUGAGUGGAACACGGAAUUGAAAGAGGCGGGUAACUCUGAGCAAGCGACAAUGGAGGUAUAGGAAUAUGAUUACUAACAUUGUAUGCAGGAAGGCCACUAACAAGAGUUUGACUUACUUCCUUGUAUCUGGGUUUUUCUAGAGCGGUGUUAACGCCAAGAUCUUUCUCCAUGUCCCAAUCACCAAGACGCGUCCGAUAUCCUACAUAGUUCAACAAGUCAACACCAAAAGCUUGACGGCUUGACCAUCGGGGGAUAGCUCCGGCGUGAGAGUCAAUAUCGGCGAUCACAAGGUUAACAAUGGAGGAAAAAUAAUGUCUAGUGCCUGAGAGAGAAUAAUCAUAUGAUUGUGUAUGUAUUAAUAUUUUGUUACUUACCUUUUUCUUGUGAUCCUAGCCCCAUACGUACUCCAAACCCGGUUUACCGUGCCACCCACUACCUCCUGACACAUUUCCCCACUCCCGGUCAUUUCAGCCGAAAGUAUGUAGCCUACUUCCUCACCUGCUACCACUAUUUGCCACCGCCGGUCAUCUGAGUCUCAUCCUCAUUAAUGCCAUGCAGAAAGUUGGCUGACAUAAUAGUCAACUAUUAUUUGGCGUAAUGAUUAUCGGUCAAAGCUGGGUUAAGUGACAAUUUGUAUAAUGGGCCAAUUCAAUGACUAAGCCCAAAUAACGGAAAUGACCCAUACGAGCGGAUCCAACCGAAAGGACCCAACGAAAUAAUCAAGUAAUUGGGCCCAACUCAUUCGGACCAACAGGACAAAAGUAACAUAAUCCAAGGGAGGAGCCCAUUAAGUUUGGCCCAAUAAGGAAAAGGAUCAUGGCCCAACAUUGCCCCCUAGUCUUUUAUUAAACAGGGGGUUUAAUGGAAGACUAUAAACAAUAUAGGUCCAUGAUAUAACGAAUUAUGAUAAGUCACAAGAGGCCCAAAGUGAAACUCAUCAAAGCCCAAUUAAGUCGGUCCAAAUGGAUAACAGAGACAGAAAUGGGAGGCCCAAUAGACAUAAGUCCACUCCGGUCAAGAUAUUUAGACCCAAAACCGGACGAUACCUCUUCCAAUUCACCAUCAUUGCUGUGAAUUAAAUGUGCCGCCUUCGAUUACUGUGUAACCGUCAAUAUAAAAGGUAAACUUUACCAAUUUUGACAGUUUUACCUGACAAUUUGAACUUUGAACCUCUGAGCUUUCUUCUCCUUCCCAAAACUUCCUUCUCUGUUUUACGAAAUCUCAACAAUGGUGACUGUGAACUCUAACCAAAAUUCUCCCCUUCGCGCGACUCCCGCUAGCACCGUUUCCCCCAACCCAAACCCUAACAAAGAGGGUUCGAGUUCAAAUCCCCAAUCCACAGCAACCAUGGGGAAGAAUCCGCCCCUGAUCCCUUCUUUGGUUCCUUCCGACUUCUUCAAGGAUGGGGAACAGUUUCCUCACGCCAAUACCCCCUCCACUGUUACGGAAGCUGAGAUACGCAUCCUCCGGACUCGUUAUCAGAUUCCGGAUAUGUACGCUAUAAGGGCUCCCGCUCCUGAAGAACGCAUGUACCAUCGACCGGAUGGUUGGGUCGCCAUGCUGGUUACUUUUCUCGAAAAGGGGAUUCGCCUACCGCUUCAUGCCUUCGUCGUUACCCUCCUAGGGUUCAUAGGAGUGGAUUUUGCCCAGUUGGUGCCUAACUCCUACAUUCACAUACUGGCAUUCAUUGCCUUCUGUCACGAACUAGGGAUUCCUCCCUCUGUCGACAUCUUCUUCACCCUCUUCUCAGCCGGUAGGUCCCGAGAACGAGGUUUUAAAAUGUUGAGCAAACAGUCUCCUCGACCCAACGCCAGAUUUGAGAAGAGACCUCUGAUGGAUACCCCUUCAAGCAAUAAGGGUUGACACGAAAAAUGGUUUUUUGUUACGGGACCCGAAAUCUCUUCUCUUCCUGAUUGGACUACCUCUGAUCGGAUCUCUCCUGACUUUGGGGAUAUCCCCGAAGAGCAUGUGAAGGAAAUAGCAGAUUUUUUGAAGAAGAUUCCUCCGAAGGAAUGGAGUUUUUCGCUUCUGACUAAGCAAGCCUGGCUAUAUGACCAUAAAUGUAAGUUUCUAACAACUUUGUAACAUAGUUUUUUGAGAUAUUUAAGUGACAUGGAUUCUGAUACAUGGUUAUUUGCAGUGUCUUUGAUCAAACCAACUUCUUCGGAAGUAAAAGAAUUGGAAGACUUUUUGGUAGGGAAGAUUACGGAUGCGAGUGAAGAGCCUCCGACUGAAGAAUCUUCCCGAGCUGAUCCUCCUGUCAACGAUCCACCCACUGUUUCUCCCCAGAAUGACAAACCCCAAACUGAUGAACCCAUCGUUCCUGAAGAAUCCCUCAGACCUCGGCGAAAGAAGAGAGCCGCCAAGAAAUCCAAAUCCACCCAGUCGGAAACAAGUCCUGAAAGUGAUCCGAAAACAAUUCCCGAAGCAAUUCCACAAGCAACCCCUUCAUCCAACCCUAGUUCUGCACCUUCCGAAUCUUCCCCAAUUAAGAGAAGCCUACUCGACAUACCUCUCCAUGAUCGGGCGAAGGUUCUCCGUGCUAAGAAGCUAAGGACAAAGAUUACCCCUUUGACUGCCGAUGAGCUCCGAGUUCUAUCAUCUUCGGCUAACAUUCCCCCAAUAGUCCCAACUGAAAUUCAGGUGCCUGACGAUGAACUGGUCGGAUCUGCCCCCAUCUUAUCCCGAAAAAGAAAACAUCCAUCAGAUAGCCAUCCAGGUUCACCUUCGGCUCCCUCACCAGUCCAUGAAUCUACUCCUGUUCGAUCUCCCUCUCCGAAAAAUAUACAUAUGGAUCCCUCGCCAAUUCGCAAUCAAUCCAUGCCUUCUCCUCCAAGACAGUCAACCUCUGAAUUUCAGCAUGACGCUAUGGCCUCUCCAACCAUGUGGCCUCGAUUUAAUGCCAACUUUCCUUUUCAACUGUUUGACGCCUUCGUCCGCGAAACCGAUGACCAUUGAUUCGGGAACAGUUCGAACGGGGAUUUGCUUAGCGAAGGCAUGAGCUACCUGGCGAAGGUAAAUGGUUCUCUCAUUUAUUUCCGUAUUUAUCUUCAUACUUAUACAUCUGAAACUGAUCGAAUAAUACUGGACAUGCGUAGGCGAAUGCUGUGUUCGGGCGUCUGCGUCCAAAAUCCAUCGAAGCUGAAUCCGAAGAAGAGGCAAUGAGGAAGGAGAAUGCCAUCCUGAAGUCUGCUCUGGCUCGGGAAAGGACUCAACGCGAGAGCGUUCUUCACAAGAAUGAGGGUCUUCGGAAAGAUUUGGCUCAAGCCAAAGGAGAUGCGAAGACAUCCAAUGAAGAACUGAAGUCAACUAAAGCACAUUACGAGGAGAUCGUCAAGAUGAAUGUUGAUUUGGUUCAGAGGAGCGAAAUAAGGAUGGAGAAGAUCAAAGAGCUAAAGGUUGAUGCUAAGAUCUUGACUAAAACCAUCCAAAAACUAGAGCUAGCUGAAACUCGUCAUCUGAAUAAGCGCCAGAAGCUUAAAGAAGAAAUCCGAGAACUCAAGGCUCUUCGGGACCUUGGGCCUCCUCUAACCGAUGACCUUCGCAAGCAGAUCUGUGAAGAGUAUCGGAAUUCGGACGAGAUUAACGGAGAGAUCAUGAAGAUAUAUUCUGAAAGCUAUGAGCUCUGCCGGAGUCGUGGCAAGGAGAAGCUGAUUACAGCCAACGUGGAUCCAUCCUUGCUCGACUCUUCAGAUGGCGAAGAUGAUGCCUGAAAUGAAUGCUCUUGUUUUUCCUGAAUUUUAUUUAAGAAUAUUUGUGAAAAUUUCUGUUUAUUUUGUAAUCAAAUUAAAUAUUAAUGAAAGGUGGUCUCAUCCUUUAUGACUUCGGUGCAUUUACUUUCUGCCAAUACUUCAAUAUUAAUUCCACUGAAAAAAUGUGCAAACUGUUUCAUGGACUCAACUCGAACUGUUAAUUAACAACUAAGCAUGUCAUAUAACAGAUAAGAUGAAGUUAAAGAAUGAGGCAUUCCGAACUCGACACUUAGAAAAAAUUUAGGUAAUAAAGUAAAGGGAUACUUAUUAGUUACCGAAGUGUGAGACAGAUCUGCUUCAUUGGGAAUUUGUUUACCCCAAAAGGCCUAACAAAACCAAAAGAUGACAUUUGCCUACCACGAAGGGCCUGACGAAGUCUGAAGGAUGACACUUGCCUACCACGAAGGGCCUGACAAGGUCUAAGUGUCGACAAUUGCCUACCACGCAGGGCCUGACAACGUCUUAAGGAUGACACUUGCCUACCACGAAGGGCCUGACAAGGUCUAAGUGUCGACAAUUGCCUACCACGCAGGGCCUGACAACGUCUAAGGAUGGAGUUUGCUGACCACGAAGGGCCUGACAAAUCCAUAAGGUCCACCUGCCAUUAAGGCUGCCACCGAAUGGUCAGCAAGUCCGCCCGAACCUCCUUACACCACUGAACUGAACAGAAACAAAGACAGGAUUCGUUUGUGAAAAAGGGACUUUUAUUGAUGAUGACGUAAAUAUUUACAGACCUCCGAUGUACUGACAUUAUAUUUACUGAAAGUAUUUCCUAAGUCUGCCGGCGUGCCAAGUAUUUUUAAUUGCUGACCCGUCCAAUGCCUUCAGCCGAUAAGUCCCCGGCUUCGGCACUUCAGUGACUUCAUACGGUCCUUCCCAGUUCGGCAUCAGCUUUCCUAAAUUUUGAGGUGUAGAUCCUUCAACUUCCCUGAGAACAAAAUCUCCCACUUCAAAUCUGCGUAGCUUUACUCCCUUGUUGUAAUGCUUGGCUACUCUCCGUUGAUAGGCUGCCAAUUUGAUCAAGGUUGUUUCUCUGACUUCUUCAAGCAAAUCAAAAUUGGCCUUCAGCCCUUCUUCAUUAUAGAUCUCUUUGAAUUGACUAACUCGAAGACUUGGAGAUCCAAUUUCAACUGGGACUAAGGCAUCAGUACCAUAGGCCAGUCUGAAAGGUGAAUCCCCCGUUGUAGUCCUCGGAGUAGUUCGAUAAGCCCAUAACACACUAAGCAGCUCCUCUGACCAUCUUCCCUUGGCUUCGUCCAAUCUGUGCUUGAUCCCAUUCAGCAGCGUUCUGUUGGUCACUUCAACUUGUCCGUUUGACUGAGGAUGAGCUACUGAAGUCUUUCUGUGCUGGAUCCCCAGUUCUUUCAAAAAUGUUUCAAAUUUCGAUCCCACAAACUGACGUCCAUUGUCCGAUAUUACCACCUUAGGAAUUCCAAAACGAAAUACUACUGAUUCUUUUAAAAAUUUCAAGCAUUCUUGUUCCGUUAUUAACCUAAGUGGCUUUGUUUCUACCCAUUUGGUCAUAUAGUCGAUGGCAACUAUAACAAAACUGACUUGACCUUUUGCUUUCGGUAGCGGACCCAGUAUAUCAACCCCCCAGACAGCGAAGGGUAUAGGAGAUAAGAUCGAGUAUAGCUCUUCUGGUGGCUGAUGUGGUAUUGGACUGUUGAGUUGACACUUCUCGCACUUCUUGACGUACUCAGUCGCUUCCUUGAAGAUGGUAGGCCAGUAAUACCCCUGACGAAGUACUUUGUAGGCUAAUGACUUAGCAGCCAUAUGGUCGCCACAGAUGCCCUCAUGUACUUCUCGUAGAGCAUAUUCAGCUUCAGAUGGAGUCAAACAUUUCAGUAGUGGAGACGAGAAAGCCCUUCGGAACAGAUCCCCAUCAAUCAGAACAAAAUUAGCACUCUUGUAUUUGAUUUUCUUGGCUAGCAUCCAAUCCGAAGGUAAGACGCCAUCUGCCAGAUACUCCAGAUAUGGAGUCAACCAGCAGUUGGUUCGGUCAACGCACAUCACCGAUUCAUGAUGAACACUAGGAUGUUGCAAAAAUUCUAAGUAAACCGACACAUCAAAGACGUUAACAUCCGUAGUGGCUAGUUUGGAGAGUGCAUCAGCAAUGGAAUUGUUAUUACGCUCGACCCCCUGAAACUCGUAGGAUUGGAAAUACUGAAGCCGUUCUUUCACUUCUGCCAAAUACUUGAUCAUUCUUGGGCCUUGAGCUUCGUACUCCCCGGAAAGUUGCUUAACGACUAACUGAGAAUCACUGAAGAUGACUAUUCUCUGCACUUCAAGACUCUUCGCUAGUCGUAACCCUACGAGUACUGCCUCAUAAUCAGCUUCGUUGUUCGUCGCUUUGAACUGAAAUCUGAUGGCCUGUUGCACCUUGAAUCCCUCCGGACUCGUCAGAAUAAUCCUUGCUCCACUGAUGUCCGUAAUAGAAGACUCAUCUGCAUACAGCGUCCACGAACUCUGCUUCUGUUGAAGAACUGCAACUGCUCUGUCAGAUCCUUCAGCUUCUGUCACAAUUUCACCAGCUUCAGAAAACGAAUAUUCAACUACAAAAUCAGCCAAGGCUUGCCCCUUGAUGGCGGUUCGGGGAUGAUAUUCAAUGAAAAAUUGAGAUAGCUCCAUCGUCCAUGCAGCUAAUCUCCCCGAUACCUCAGGUCUGCCCAUAAUCUUCUUCAAAUGCUGAUCUGUGUAUACUAUUACCAAUUUACCCUGGAAGUAUUGCCUAAGCUUUCGACUAGCAGUUAUUAAAGCAAAAGCAAACUUUUCAAUGUUUGGGUACCUUGUUUCAGCAUCCUGAAGGACAUGGCUUACAUAAUAAACCGGGUGCUGCUUACCCCCAUCUUCACGCACCAAAACUGCUCCUACCGCCAACGAACUAGCUACUAAGUACAAAUAUAGAGGCUCAGCAGGAACGGAUUUCACCAACAAAGGCGCCGAAGAUAGGUAGGACUUGAUGCUCUGAAAGGCGUCCUCACACUCCGAAGUCCAUUGGAACGUCUUUGCAUUCUUCGGCCCUUUCAACGUGUCAAAAAACGGCAAACAUCUUUCUGCCGACUUGGACAUGAACCUCCUUAAAGCUGCAAUCCUUCCAGUCAGACGUUGAACAUCUUUAAAUGACUGAGGAGUCUUCAUGCUUAGGAUCGCUUGAAUCUUCUCUGGAUUGGCUUCAAUUCCGCUUUGACUGACAAGAUAACCCAGAAACUUGCCAGCCCCUAGACCGAAAGUGCACUUGGUAGGAUUUAGUCUCAAGUUGUGAUGGUGAAUUGUCUGAAAGCAUUCUUCUAAAUCAUCCAGAUGUUUGCGUACCAGCAUGCUUUUAACAAUCAUGUCGUCCACGUACACCUCCAUAUUCUUACCCAACUGGUAUCUGAAGACGUAGUUCAUCAUCCUUUGGUAUGUGGCCCCGGCAUUAAUGAGGCCGAAGGUCAUUUUCUUAUAGGCAUAUACCGAAUGAUGCGUAAUGAAAGCCGUCUUCAGUAUAUCCUCUUUACACAUGGAAAUCUGAUGAUAUCUAGAGAAUGCAUCCAUGAAGCUCAACAAAGCGUACCCCGAAGUGGCAUCAAUGAGCUGAUCGAUGUGGGGCAGCGGGUAGAAAUCCUUUGGACAAGCUUUGUUUAGAUCGGUAUAGUCGAUGCAGACUCGCCACUUACCAUUCUGUUUCUGGACCAGCACCACAUUUGCCAUCCACUGCGGGUAGUCAAUCUCAAAGAUGAAGUCAGCUGCCAACAAUUUUGCGACCUCUUCAUCGAUGAUCCGCUGACGUUCAGGUGCAAAGAUCCUCCUCUUCUGGCGAACUGGUUUCUUUGACGGGUCCACUUCCAACCGAUGCUCAGCAAUAUCCUUGCUUACUCCCGGCAUAUCCUGAGGUUCCCAUGCGAAGAUAUCAACAUAGCAUCGCAGGAGCUCCAUGAGGUUCGUCCGGAGAGGUUCCGGCAGACCCGAACCUAUUUUCACCAUCUUGUUCACUUUGCCCGGGAUGAGCUCUAUCUCUUCUGUUUCUUCAGCUGGCAUGACCAAUGGUUCGGAACUACUCUCAGUGAAGGUUCAAUCUCUAUCGCCAUGGUCUGCUUUUGUUUCGAUACCCCCACUCCUGAAGUGAUCACAUCAUUUCUAUAACAUCUUCUGGCCAGAUCCAAAUCUCCUUUCACCUCACCAACCCCAUGAGCCGUAGGAAAUUUGAUUUUGAAAUGAGGGAUUGAGGUUACAGCUUGUAAAGCAAUUAAAGUAGGCCUCCCCAAAAUAGCAUUAUAAGCAGUAUCUACAUGCACAACAUAAAAUUUGCAAAUAAUUUCUACCUGUUGAGGGGCCGUUCCGAAGAUGACCGGUAGCUCAAUGGUUCUAGCCACCUUGACCGGAUCAUUACUAAAACCGUACAAAGGAGCCUCCUGCCCUAUCUCCAUCUUCCGCCCGUCUAGAUGCAUCCUUUGAUAAGCGUGGGCAUACAGAAUAUCUACAGAAGACCCAUUAUCUACCAUCAUUCGCUUCAUAUCCACCGAACCCACUUGCGCAGUCAGCACCAAUGAUCCCUCAUGCGGUUCGAUGACUUCCGAAGGGUAAUCUUCAUCAGUAAAGGAGAUUACCGUACUCGGAUAAGGUCUAUCAGUCUUCGGGAGGGUACCCGCCACUGACAUGACCGAAUCCAAGUAACUUCGGCGCUUCUUCCCCACAAGCUUGCCAGAAAUACCCCCAGUGAUGACAUCUAUCACAUGCCUUGCAGGCUGUCCCGGAGCUGGCAACUCUUGCUGGACUGGUUGAGCUGCCGGAAUAGGUCCUCUAUCCUGCUGUUGAUUAGUUCUGGCAGCCACAUACUGAACUAAUGCCCCUCCUUGUACCUUUCUUUCAAUGAAAUCUUUCAAACUAGCACAGUCGUUCGUAUCGUGACCUGAGGCUUGAUGGUAAUCACAAUACUUACGAGGAUUCCCUUUUUUGGGCUUAAUGUUAUCUCGAGGGGGCUCGAAGAUAGGUUGAUCUUUAAUCUGAUCCAAGAUAACAGCCCUAUCGGUGUUAAGUGCUGUGUAUGUCCUAUUUACUCUCUGGGCUGGAGCGGACGAACGUCCUCCACCCUGUCUCCAAUUAUUGUAUCUCUUUGACCCGCCUUCAUAGCGGUUUUUAUUCCCUUCAUUCUUCUUCUGGUCCCCAUCGGUUUUGUCCCGAUCUGUCUCCUUAAGCCGGUCUGAAGAAGGACGUUUGAGGUUGUUCAUGGCUUCCUCCACCACGAUAUAGCCUUUAGCUUUAUCGAAGGCUUCAUCGAGACUCUUCGGGUGGUUAAACAUUAAUUUCUUCACCAACUUUUCUGAUUUGACCAAAUCUAACCCAUUCUGAAAUAGUCCCACAACUUGUAGAUCAUUCAGGUCUGUCACUUGGCCGACUGCUUCACGGAACCGCUUCACAUAUUGGCCCAAAGACUCAUUCGAAUACUGUCGAACUUGAGCCAGCGAACCAGUUGGUUUUCCCCUUCUUUUGUUUCUCCCGAAGCGAGCAUGAAAUUUACUACACAAGUCUGCCCAAGACGAAAUUGAAUCCGAGGGCAAAGUCCCCAUCCACUGCCGGGCAUCCUUUCUGAGCGUCGUGACAAAAGUAUGACACUUAGCAGCAUCGCUAAAGUCAUAAUAAUCCAUCAGUCGAUCGAACGCCUAACUGUGGUCGUAGGGAUCCCCCGAUCCAUCAUAACUUUCAAUGUGGGGCAACUUCUUGGUGGGGUCAGCCUUCUCUUUUAGAAUCUCCGCUGAAAAAGGAGAUGCCUUCUUUCCCGAAGUAUCUUUUAUUUUCUGUACUUCGGCAAGCUGUUUCCGAAGUUCCUUUAAUUCUUUAACCAGAUACUCCACGCCUUCUGGUUGAGAUGAUGCUUCUUUUUCCGGUGACUCCUUCCUCUUCUGAGUGGACCGGUUUCUUACAAUAGAACCUUCAACUUUAGAGGGACUUUUUCGAUGACGAGCGCCUACAGGGUGGUGUACCCUCAGUAGACUCUCGGGAGUAUGACCUCUAGAUAUACUUCGUCUCUGAACUCGGGCGCUAUGGUGAGAAUGUGCAACAACAAGUGCUUUCUUUGUAUUCUCAGGAGUGCGAUCUCUGGAUCGACCUCUUCGUUCAUUUCGACCCUGCUCCUUAGAAUCGACAGGGUGAUGUGCCCUCUUCGAUCUUUGAGGAGUAGGGCUUCGGGAUCUUCUUCUUUCUCGAGGUUGGCCCCGAGACUCACGUCCUAAAUGGGCAGGUUCCUUCCCACUCCGAUGCCCUCGCUCUUCGGACUGAACAUAACUGAACUCUUCAUCCCUCAACUCCGCCAUUCGAGCCAUCUGCUCAGCUAUAUCCUGUCGCUGCUUCACAAGUACCUCCAUGGCCCUAUCUGCUUCAUCUGUCAUCUUAGCCAGUCGUGAGGCCUUUUCGUCUUGGUCAUCUCGAUAUCGAGUUCUAGGCGAGGUGCCUUCUACUCGUUUCCGACCAUGGCCAAACCCUUUCUCCGCCGUGAAAACUAGCUUUCGCUUAACGUUGCCCACAGCCCUCGGCCGAGAAUCUUCAUAUGAUCGUUUGGACACUGUGCUGGUAUGAAUACUUAUUGCAUGUCCCAAACGAUCCUUGACAGACACUCGUGGUACUGAUUCACUGACAGCCAUAGGCUGCCCUUCGGGUGUAGGUGUUCUACUCUUCACCAUGAAUAUUGACGUAGAACAAACACAGCUUGUGAUUGAAAAAUACUCAGGACACUAGAACUCAGCCCUCCUUCUAGCGCCAAUGUUAACGCCAAGAUCUUUCUCCACGUCCCAAUCACCAAGACGCGUCCGAUAUCCUGCACAGUUCAACAAGUCAACACCAAAAGCUUGACGGCUUGACCAUCGGGGGAUAGCUCCGGCGUGAGAGUCAAUAUCGGCGAUCACAAGGUUAACAAUGGAGGAAAAAUAAUGUCUAGUGUCUGAGAGAGAAUAAUCAUAUGAUUGUGUAUGUAUUAAUAUUUUGUUACUUACCUUUUUCUUGUGAUCCUAGCCCCAUACGUACUCCAAACCCGGUUUACCGUGCCACCCACUACCUCCUGACACAUUUCCCCACUCCCGGUCAUUUCAGCCGAAAGUAUGUAGCCUACUUCCUCACCUGCUACCACUAUUUGCCACCGCCGGUCAUCUGAGUCUCAUCCUCAUUAAUGCCAUGUAGAAAGGUGGCAGACAUAAUAGUCAACUAUUAUUUGGCGUAAUGAUUAUCGGUUAAAGCUGGGGUUAAGUGGUAAUUUGUAUAAUGGGCCAAUUCAAUGACUAAGCCCAAAUAACGGAAAUGACCCAUACGAGCGGAUCCAACCAAAAGGACCCAACGAAAUAAUCAAGUAAUUGGGCCCAACUCAUUCGGACCAACAGGACAAAAGUAACAUAAUCCAAGGGAGGAGCCCAUUAAGUUUGGCCCAAUAAAAAAAAGGAUCAUGGCCCAACAAGCGGUAUUAUGAACUGCUUUGAGCACUUCAGAGAUCCUCUUCAUCAAAUCAUCAUUAGAGGUUUAGAGCUUCUGAUUGAGGUUUGCAAUCUUCUCCUCUACUGAACCAAACUGCUCUUUAGUUUGCUCAAAGUUCCUCUCUACCUGAUCUAUUUUGCUUUCAAUGGUUUUCAGAUCCUUCUCGUGCUUUUGUAGGCUAUUUUUUGCGGUGGAAUCAGCCAUAACUUUCGGCCCAGAUUUGCUUUGAUACCAAUUUGUCAGAAAAUCAAGUAACUACAGAAGAAAAUUAACUGAGCUGAAGGAAAAGCGACUUGCAAGAGACGAAAUAGUAAUGUUUAUUCAUUUAAUCGAUACCUAAAACAAAACUGAGACUCUGCAAAUACAUACUGCAAUCUACCAUUCUGUUGAGGCUAACUACCCGACCCACUAAAAAGCUGACACGUGGACUAUUGAAGCUGAGCAAAAUGCUACAGCAAAGCAAUUAACAACUCUAUGCUAAACGAAUGCGUUUCACUAACUGACUCAAUAUUUUAGACGCCGACAUUUUCCUUCUUUUUCAAUUCUCAGCAUAAAAAGUAUCCCUUUUUCCAAUUCUGAAUAACAUCUUAGUUUCAAAAUGCUUUCUAGUUCUAGUAAUUCUUUUAUAAACAAGCUUAACAACAAAAAGCCACAUUUCGGUUGUCAAAUUUAAUUUCAACCCAUCAUUUUAUUCACAUUUAUGAACUUUAUAUAUUCACAUUUACCCAGUAUCAGAUUAUAUACAAAACUAUUUUAAUUUCAAUAUAUAAACUCAAAUACAUGUAUAAAUUUUAUAUACAUACUAAUUUGUUGUGAAGGACUGAAGUGUACCUUAGAAAUCUUGAUUUCGUCUUCAAGUUCAUGAAGUCAGUUAUUCAAUCUACCAAAUUUGUUAAUGUUCUGCUGAUCCUCCCAGGUAACCACUGUAUCAGAAGUUCCGGACUUUUGAUUUCAUUCAAGUUUACAACCCAUAUUCGGAGAAAUCGUUAAAAAUCAAACGAUUAGAAAUGAGAUAAAAACAAAAAAUUAGGGCUUUUAGGGAAUAAACAGAAAUCAAAUUUUGGACUACUCACCUGCUGCAUGUUCGAUGUUAGAGGGUUAGACUGAGGAAGAAAAGUUCCAACAGUACUUCAGAGUUCACUGCACAGACCAGUAGCCCAGAGACCAGGGUAGAUAUUGAAAAAAAUAAAAAAAAUUAUUUGGGAUAUAAAAGUUUUACACAAACAGGCUGUAUAUAUAGUCCAAUCCGAUCUUGAUCUAUACGGUUUGGGCUGCUGACCAAAUAAGACUUGAUGUCGAGAGAAAAUAGAUCAGGUCAGAUCGGAUUAUAAAGUUGGAGUGGUAGUCAGCGGCAGCCUGGCCACGGCGACUUGGCCGGACCCUUCCUUUUUUUUUUCUUUUUUGCAACUUUUAAUUUUAAUAGAAAAAGAAAUUAAUAAACUAACGUUUAAUAAAAUUAAUAUUAAUGCAAGCAAGCCAUUGGCAUAUAAUAAAUAAAUAAAAGUUUGGAUUGGGCUGACAAAUUAUAGUUCUGAACAGAAAAGAAAAUAAUAAAAAACAUAAAUUAGAACAAAAAAGAAAAGAAUAGAAAACUUGAAAUUUUCCUUUGGGUUGUUUCUGAGUUUUUAAUAAAAAAGAAAAGAAAGUUUAAAAUUGAGGGCAUGAGUUAUAAUUUAAAAUUUAUUAUAUUAAAAGUUGAGGUUAAUAUGGGAAUUAUAAAAAUAUUACUUAUUUUAAUUUUUUUUCCAUUCAAAUCAGGCUAAUUUUGGACGAAAAACUUUGGCAGGAACAGUUGUCAAGUUUUCUAUCAAUUUCUUUUCUUUUCCGUUUAUUAAAAAACUCAGAAACAUAAGAAUUGGAAAGAAAAUUAAAAUUUUUUGUCCAUUUCUUUUAUUUUCUCUCCAUUUUAAAACUCAGAAACAGAGCGUUAGAGUUGAACUAAUAGUGAGCUUGACAAGUUACAUAGUGCCAUGGUGGUGUAUAUAUAUAUAUAGUCUGUCCUCUUAUAUUUAUACAACUACAAUUGUGAUAAAGUUAAUCAAUAUGGCUUUUUUCUUUUGGGACAAAGCAAAUACUACAAAUAUUCUGAUUCCUAACACAUCGUGUUGUUUGGUAAUCAAAGAAAGUAUAAAUCACUAUCAUUUGUUAAUAUAAAUAUUAACGUUAACGUUAAGAUUCGUUCACACGUCUCAAUCAUCAAAACGCGUUUAAUCCUAUAUAGAAACGAAGUCACACCAAAAGCUUGACAACUUAUGCCGCCUUGGGAUAGGUCCGGUGUAAGAAUAAGUACAAACUGAAUAAUGUUUAACAAUGGAGAUUUUAUAUUCUAAUAUUGUAAAAUAAUAUGAAUGUGUGUACCUGAUGAUUAGGGUAUAGUCUUGUAUUUAUAGUGAUCACACCUUCUUUCUCGUAUAGAAUUAGGAUUACUCAUUAGGGAUUCCUUAAUGGGAUUGAAUAAAAUCUGCUUAAACACAACUUCAUGCAUAAGAAACAAAAAUUUGCAUCUGACCGGUGCGCCCCGCGUCAUGUCCUUCCUUCAAGCAGCGCGACCCACUUCGCCCCAUCAGUAUGUACUUCUCAUGCAACGCGCCCCGCGCCGUCUUCUACAUAUUCAUGGCGCGCCCUGCUCUGGUAGUGCAAAAUGUCAAAAUUCUUGUGAUUUCUUCAACUGUCAACUCUUGGACACCUUCUGUGAUGCCCCCAAAACAGGUAUACAUCACCCAUCUUGAGUCGCCAAAUACAUGGUACAUAAAUCAAAUACAAACUUAAUUAUACAACUGUCGUGUAAAAUACGACAAAACAUAAUCUAAGAAUUUUAAUAAGAAUAUUGUUAUCUAGACAAUAUCCACACUCAAUGGAGUCCUCAUUACAUUUAUUGUCACACUAUUUAACAGAAUAGUGAGGACUACUAAAGUCACUUAUCAUGGACCGUCACUCCAUUCCCCAACUCGUCCCAGCUAUAUUCUCAUUUCCUGAAGAGAACAGUGAAAAAAAGGGUGAGCUCAACUAGCCCAGUAAGAAAUAUUAUGACUAAGAUAAUGCAGAAUAAAUUAUCCUUAGCCUUCAACAGUAUAACAACUGAUAGAAUACAAUAGACAACAAGUUUUAGAUCAACAACUGCAGUGGAAUAAGCAAUCCAUUAGAAGAGUCAAGUAGAGCAUAAAAACUACUAUCUUCUAUGAUUUAAAAAGUUUUUCAUCAACUUUAUCACUGAGACUCAGCUUAAUAAAUAAAAUCGAAUCAUCCCUGCACCACGGCCAAGGAUAUUCAUGUAACCAUCAAUGGUAAUGAUUAUACCGAAUAAUCCCUGGUCAUAAUCAUACCAACAACUGUCCAUCAAUGAACUACAGGCCAAUGAGGACUUUUACCACAUAAUUCGUCACAUUACGGUCAUGAUUAUACCGAAUAAUCCCUGGUCAUAAUCAUACCAAGUCCAUCUAUAUACGUAAGCUAAAGAUGACUUUAAUCACAAUAUAAGCAUGAGGAUGAUGAUAAUGACAUAAUAAUUCAAUAAAACAAGUUCAAUGAUAAAUUUUAAAGAUUUAUAAUUUAAUUUAUCCAGAAAUCAAUAACGUCCAAAUUGUCAACAUGAUACUGCUUUGUAGAGUAAAAUUCACGAAUAAUAUUCAUGUACCAAAAAUAAUUUGGCCAGAAAAGAAAUAUAUUUUUUGGGUGAAUAGUACCCCGUGAAUAGUACUUCGGGAAUAGUACCUUAUGAAUAGUACCCUGACCCAAGGGCUGUCCCGGAUAAGUCGAAAUCAGCGGUUCUUGGAAGAGCGUUUGUCGUGACUGGUCAAAAUGCGAGGAACCCGAACGAGUUUAGCACGGGUUAGUUAAUUAUAAUUCUUGCGAAGUUUAUACCUUACUAGAUACCGGUUCUACCCAUUCUUUUUUCUCUCUUGCUUGCGCUCAACGUUUGAACUUGACUACGGAGAAAUUAGACUUUGACCUAUUAUUGGAGACUCCGUUAGGAAAAAAUUUCAUUACAUCCGUUGUUUAGAAAUCUAGUUUGAUCCAAGUUGGCACCAUCACAUUACCUGUUGACCUUAUUUCUUUAAAGAUACUUGCUUUUGAUGUGAUUUUAGGAAUUGAUUGGUUAACUACUCAUCAUUCCAAAUUGAUUGCUUUUGUAAGGUUGUUAGUUUACAUAUUCCUUAGCAACCUGUUAUUCGAAUUUAAGCAACCAAACCAUUGAAGUCAAACACUGUCAUAUCAAACCACAAAGCUAUUUUUUUAUUGAAAAACGAAUGUCAAGCUUUCUUAGCCAUGUUAUGGACUUGAACAAUAAUACGUCAGAUUUGAAUGAUAUUUUUGUUGUUAGUGAAUUUCCUGACGUAUUUCCUGAGGAAUUUCUUGGCCUACUCCCAGAGCGUGAUAUUGAAUUUGUAUCGACUUUAAAUCCGGUACAAAACCCAUUUCUAAAAUCUCAUAUCGAAUGGCUCCUAUUGAACUUCAGGAGUUAAAAACACAAGUACAAGAGUUAGUACCCGAGCCUUUAUCUGGUGACUUCCUUUGUGGAAUACACUGAAGCCAGACUCUCCGUAGGGGACGCCAUAUUCGUGCGGUAGUAAACUAAUAGGUGCUAUUGUAACAUGCUAUCCAAGGUUGGGAUAUGAGUCACAGUUGAGAACAACCUAAGUCGACUCAUUUCAGCACAUGUUCUGACCAUGCCAUCCUGGAAAAGCGAACGUGGUAGCUGACGUGUUGAGUAAUCGCUAGUCCAUUAACUCAGCUGACUCGUAGAGAUACAAAAUUCGAAUGGAGCNNNNNNNNNNNNNNNNNNNNNNNNNNNNNNNNNNNNNNNNNNNNNNNNNNNNNNNNNNNNNNNNNNNNNNNNNNNNNNNNNNNNNNNNNNNNNNNNNNNNNNNNNNNNNNNNNNNNNNNNNNNNNNNNNNNNNNNNNNNNNNNNNNNNNNNNNNNNNNNNNNNNNNNNNNNNNNNNNNNNNNNNNNNNNNNNNNNNNNNNNNNNNNNNNNNNNNNNNNNNNNNNNNNNNNNNNNNNNNNNNNNNNNNNNNNNNNNNNNNNNNNNNNNNNNNNNNNNNNNNNNNNNNNNNNNNNNNNNNNNNNNNNNNNNNNNNNNNNNNNNNNNNNNNNNNNNNNNNNNNNNNNNNNNNNNNNNNNNNNNNNNNNNNNNNNNNNNNNNNNNNNNNNNNNNNNNNNNNNNNNNNNNNNNNNNNNNNNNNNNNNNNNNNNNNNNNNNNNNNNNNNNNNNNNNNNNNNNNNNNNNNNNNNNNNNNNNNNNNNNNNNNNNNNNNNNNNNNNNNNNNNNNNNNNNNNNNNNNNNNNNNNNNNNNNNNNNNNNNNNNNNNNNNNNNNNNNNNNNNNNNNNNNNNNNNNNNNNNNNNNNNNNNNNNNNNNNNNNNNNNNNNNNNNNNNNNNNNNNNNNNNNNNNNNNNNNNNNNNNNNNNNNNNNNNNNNNNNNNNNNNNNNNNNNNNNNNNNNNNNNNNNNNNNNNNNNNNNNNNNNNNNNNNNNNNNNNNNNNNNNNNNNNNNNNNNNNNNNNNNNNNNNNNNNNNNNNNNNNNNNNNNNNNNNNNNNNNNNNNNNNNNNNNNNNNNNNNNNNNNNNNNNNNNNNNNNNNNNNNNNNNNNNNNNNNNNNNNNNNNNNNNNNNNNNNNNNNNNNNNNNNNNNNNNNNNNNNNNNNNNNNNNNNNNNNNNNNNNNNNNNNNNNNNNNNNNNNNNNNNNNNNNNNNNNNNNNNNNNNNNNNNNNNNNNNNNNNNNNNNNNNNNNNNNNNNNNNNNNNNNNNNNNNNNNNNNNNNNNNNNNNNNNNNNNNNNNNNNNNNNNNNNNNNNNNNNNNNNNNNNNNNNNNNNNNNNNNNNNNNNNNNNNNNNNNNNNNNNNNNNNNNNNNNNNNNNNNNNNNNNNNNNNNNNNNNNNNNNNNNNNNNNNNNNNNNNNNNNNNNNNNNNNNNNNNNNNNNNNNNNNNNNNNNNNNNNNNNNNNNNNNNNNNNNNNNNNNNNNNNNNNNNNNNNNNNNNNNNNNNNNNNNNNNNNNNNNNNNNNNNNNNNNNNNNNNNNNNNNNNNNNNNNNNNNNNNNNNNNNNNNNNNNNNNNNNNNNNNNNNNNNNNNNNNNNNNNNNNNNNNNNNNNNNNNNNNNNNNNNNNNNNNNNNNNNNNNNNNNNNNNNNNNNNNNNNNNNNNNNNNNNNNNNNNNNNNNNNNNNNNNNNNNNNNNNNNNNNNNNNNNNNNNNNNNNNNNNNNNNNNNNNNNNNNNNNNNNNNNNNNNNNNNNNNNNNNNNNNNNNNNNNNNNNNNNNNNNNNNNNNNNNNNNNNNNNNNNNNNNNNNNNNNNNNNNNNNNNNNNNNNNNNNNNNNNNNNNNNNNNNNNNNNNNNNNNNNNNNNNNNNNNNNNNNNNNNNNNNNNNNNNNNNNNNNNNNNNNNNNNNNNNNNNNNNNNNNNNNNNNNNNNNNNNNNNNNNNNNNNNNNNNNNNNNNNNNNNNNNNNNNNNNNNNNNNNNNNNNNNNNNNNNNNNNNNNNNNNNNNNNNNNNNNNNNNNNNNNNNNNNNNNNNNNNNNNNNNNNNNNNNNNNNNNNNNNNNNNNNNNNNNNNNNNNNNNNNNNNNNNNNNNNNNNNNNNNNNNNNNNNNNNNNNNNNNNNNNNNNNNNNNNNNNNNNNNNNNNNNNNNNNNNNNNNNNNNNNNNNNNNNNNNNNNNNNNNNNNNNNNNNNNNNNNNNNNNNNNNNNNNNNNNNNNNNNNNNNNNNNNNNNNNNNNNNNNNNNNNNNNNNNNNNNNNNNNNNNNNNNNNNNNNNNNNNNNNNNNNNNNNNNNNNNNNNNNNNNNNNNNNNNNNNNNNNNNNNNNNNNNNNNNNNNNNNNNNNNNNNNNNNNNNNNNNNNNNNNNNNNNNNNNNNNNNNNNNNNNNNNNNNNNNNNNNNNNNNNNNNNNNNNNNNNNNNNNNNNNNNNNNNNNNNNNNNNNNNNNNNNNNNNNNNNNNNNNNNNNNNNNNNNNNNNNNNNNNNNNNNNNNNNNNNNNNNNNNNNNNNNNNNNNNNNNNNNNNNNNNNNNNNNNNNNNNNNNNNNNNNNNNNNNNNNNNNNNNNNNNNNNNNNNNNNNNNNNNNNNNNNNNNNNNNNNNNNNNNNNNNNNNNNNNNNNNNNNNNNNNNNNNNNNNNNNNNNNNNNNNNNNNNNNNNNNNNNNNNNNNNNNNNNNNNNNNNNNNNNNNNNNNNNNNNNNNNNNNNNNNNNNNNNNNNNNNNNNNNNNNNNNNNNNNNNNNNNNNNNNNNNNNNNNNNNNNNNNNNNNNNNNNNNNNNNNNNNNNNNNNNNNNNNNNNNNNNNNNNNNNNNNNNNNNNNNNNNNNNNNNNNNNNNNNNNNNNNNNNNNNNNNNNNNNNNNNNNNNNNNNNNNNNNNNNNNNNNNNNNNNNNNNNNNNNNNNNNNNNNNNNNNNNNNNNNNNNNNNNNNNNNNNNNNNNNNNNNNNNNNNNNNNNNNNNNNNNNNNNNNNNNNNNNNNNNNNNNNNNNNNNNNNNNNNNNNNNNNNGCAAUAUCUGUAUUUAAACUCACAGUAUGUAUUGUCGUAUUUCACACGACAUUUGUAUUAUUGAAGUUGUAGUUAUUUCUGUACCAUGUAUUUGGCGACUCAGAAUGGGUUGGGUGGAAUGGACCUAUUUUGGGGGCGUCACACGUACCUGGUAUGAUGAGGAUACCUUAACUUCAUUUCAGAUUCUAUCUCUUGAGGUAUAACCUUUGAGUGUUGAAUACGAUCCUUCUUAUCCAAGAUUUUAACACGUAUCUCCUCAUACGUUAAAUCUUCUGCUAUCUCAUCUAGUUCCGAUCUAAUAACGUGGUUCAGAUCGUCCACAUAUUUACAUAACAUCGAUACGUAAAAAAUGUUAUGAACACACAAUAUACUUAGCGAUAAGACGAGUCUAUAGGCCACAGUUCCUACUCGAUCGAGGAUUUCAAAUGGGCCAAUUAAAUCGAGGGUUGAGAUUUCCUCUCUUCAUCGACUCUUGCUUUUAAAAUAACGCCCUCUUGAAACUUCUUCUUCACAUUCAUCAGCUCCGAGUGUGUAGCUUGAGCGAUUUUAACUUUAUCGUGGAACGUCGAUUCUACUCGUAUUAUUUGACAUUAUCACGUGGGUUCUUAGAGUCUUUAACUCCAUCUUCAUCACUUGUAAGUUAUACGAAAUGGGUUUUUGUGUUAACAACAUCGCACUCGUAAACGCAUAAGUUAUAUGAACAGUUAUGUAUCCUUGGUGGCGGAUGAAAGUCACUUGUAUAAGAUAAAAAGAAUAAUGUAAUUAUCAUUAUUUGUAAUGAACGAGGUUAUAAGAUAUUAGAACUUGGGAAUUGAGAAUGUAUGUUAUUAUAUUUCAGUAUAUAAUGAUGUAUGUUUGGAUGAAUGUUGUACUCGUGACGUACGGAAUCCGGGUGUGAAGAUAGACAAGAUUCUGGAGUGUUACAAGUUGGUAUCAGAGAUGAUAGGUUAUAAACUAUAGGUAUGAGUACCUAAGGCUAUAAUUGUAGAGAGAAGGAUAAGAAGAUCGUUGAGUUAAACGAUUAAGGAAGAAGAUCACCACGUGAUCAUAUUGAAUCGUAACAACAUAUAUUCUAUUAAACGAUGGAUGGUUUAUAGCCAAUGCUAUAAAUGAAUGGUACUACGAAGUAGUAUGCGAAGAAGAACUCAUAUUGAGUUGUAAAUGAUAGCAUACAAAUUAAAGAAAAUUCGUAUUAAGUAAAGAGAAAAUUAGAAGUUGUAAAAUUUCAAUUGAGGACUCAUGUGAUAGCUGAGUUGUAUGAACCUCUAUUAUGGACCGGAGGUUUAUGCUUUGGUGUAUGAUGAUUGGGUAAUAUACCCAUGAAUUGGAUAUAUUUGGGCUUAAUUUAUUGUAUGUUCAAAGCAUUUUAGAGUCGUUUUAUUGUGUUUAAGUUGUGGUAUUGCAGGUUUGGAAGCUGUAGGAACGUUUAGGAGUAAUUGAGCUGAGAAGGGGCAUAGUUGGAAUUUUCUGCCUUACAGCGCCAGGGCUCUCAAUAUAUACUUGAUCCCAGCGCCGGGGCACUGGGCCUUGGCUGCAGUUGACCAGGGACGUGCGUUUGACCUUGCGUUUGACUUGUCUUGAUACACGUCUUCAAAGUUGAUUGGGAAUUGGAGUAUGGAACAAGAUGGGAAGUAUAUAUUGGUUAUUUACAUUGAAUUGGGGAACUCAUCUACACAAUUUGGGAGAUUAAUCAAGGAGCAAGAGGAGAUUUUGAAGACUUGAACUUGGAGUUCUUCUUCUUCUUUAUUCUUUUAAUUUGUGUAAUUCAUUAAAGAUGAUUUUUCAAAUAUUUGUGGUUUUAAUUUUCAUUAUGAACUAAUUUCUUUUAUUAAGAUUCCAAUUGAACCUUUUAUGAUUAUGAAUUAAUUAUUUGAUUUAUUCCAAUUAUUUAUGUUGAAGUGAAUUGUUCAUCUUGCUUUGUGCUGAUUGAUUAAUUAUCUGGCCAAUAAUUACCUUGUUACUUUAGAAGGAAUUGAAAGAGGAAUUCUUGGGUUAGAACUGGGCAUGAUGACAUGUGACUUAGUUAUUUGCACAGUGAAUAAUUAAGUUUGUGAAUGGAAUGGAAAUAUCUCUUCACCGCAUGUAACACAUAAGGAAUUGGGAUUAUAACGAGUUUAAUUCAAUUGUUUUGCAUACGAAUAUAGCAAAAUUAAUAUGGGUUAAAUAGAAGGCAAUUGAUCACUUGGAAAAGGGCUUUUGGCAUUUGAGAAUUCCUGUUAACAAUUCAGUAGGCAUAAUAAUUGGGAUAAUUGGAUAAUUGGUUUAUAGUUCAUAAUUGGGGAUAUUGGAGUCUUAAUCCUUAUUUAUCUGAAUUCAAUUAAAUCUUAGUUUUAUUUAUUUGCUUUCUUUUAGAAUAAUCUCUUUGCAUUGUUUAAUUUAGUUUUCUUAAAUCUAAAAAUCAAUAUUAUUGGUUGUUUAAAUAAAAUUGGAUUGAUAUAGUGCUAGUAGUUGGAGUUUAUUAAUUAGAAUUCUCUGUGGGAUCGACACUUUAUCUUAUCACUAUAUUACUUGUUGACCGUGUAUACUUGCACGUUUGCUUUGAUUGUGAAAUCAACCAACAAGUUUUUGGCGCCGUUGCCGGGGAAUUUCUUUUUUUGUAUUAAUUCCAUAUUAGUUAUAAUCAAUUCGGGCUUAAUUUAAACGUUACUUAUUUUUCUUCUUGUAUUUGCAGGAAUUCUUUGUGAGUGUAUGCACACUAGAUCAAGGGCGAGAAAGGAACUUUUUUCUUAUACGG
Molecule: long non-coding RNA, 56286 nt
Filed under: Panax ginseng (ginseng)
Lineage: Eukaryota; Viridiplantae; Streptophyta; Magnoliopsida; Apiales; Araliaceae
Description: long non-coding RNA (PGIN_LNC004264)
Rfam family: Plant small nucleolar RNA R71 (bases 12519-12625)
Source: RNAcentral